GUUUGAGUGGUAUAUUCCUUAUCGCAUCAUUGAUGGUGCUGAAAUUUCCACUGCCAUCCUUUGCCACCGUCACAUUGGGAUUGAGCUUGACCUUGAGGUACUCCUUAAGCAACCUACGAUCCCUUUUUGAAACCCAUGAGGGGUAGCCUCGCUUCAUGACAGGCCGGUCCUCCACCGACAGGAGGCGGCGACUGAAUGACGGGAUGCCGAGCAUCGUCAGGAUGUCGGAAACCUGCCCGACCAUGGCAAGCGCAUUGCUCGUCAGCUCCUUUGUAGUCUUCAUCGCACUCCUCAUCUUGUUCUUGAGCUCACCCUCCGGGAAUCCGUCGACGCACGUCUCCUGGUAGAAGAAGACGGCGCUCAGCCAAUUCUUCAGGUUGAGGGUCUGAUCCGGGAGGUGCUCGAGGCCGGUAUCGAUGAUUUUGUCCAGCGUCUUCACGAGAUCCUCCUUGGAAUCCUGGUACAUCUCCCAGCAAUCGUUAAUUGCAUCCUGGACCCGGCUGUCGUUGGAUUUGAUCAGGCGAGAGUGGGAAAAGGACUCGCUGAUCUCGUUGAUCACCGCCGUGACGGACGCCUUGAGAAGCUCUUUGGGGUCCGGUGUGCUGGUGUUUACGAGCUUGGUCAGGCUCGUCUCACAGGUCUGCUUGUAGUCGGUGGAGGCGCAGAGCAUCUUCACGGCCUUGCUGGUGGAGUGCAUCGUGCUGGGGUUUGGAUUGGGCUUGUCCUCGGCCUGAUACGUGGUGGUGGCGACCGUACCGACCACCAAAAGGAGGAGGAGGAUGGCGGAGGAGCCGGCGAUCACCAUCUUCCUCCGCUGCUUCUCUUUGAGGUCGGAAUCCAUGUUUUACCAGGGAGCAGGAGGAGGCUAUAGACUAUUGGAGCUCCUCCUCCUCCUUCCCUCUGCCUUGAGGGGUCCUGCCAAAUAGUUUCAGGCAGAGAGAAAGAGCAAGAGAAGGGUGAGGAAGAAGAGAAUGCCCAGGCUUUUAUUUCAUGACUCCUCCCUUCUCUCUGUCACGAGGGGUGGGGAGGGCUUGGAGGUGUUAUAUCGCCUCACGGACCUUGCAAGGGAUUUCCGGUUUUAAAAGUUAGUUAGGGUCGGCGGGUAAAUGGAUGGCGGACGUUUUAACCGUUGCUCCACAUUUACCGCCAAAAGCUGUCCAUGCUUUGACCUGUCCCCAUGUACAAAAAUAUCCUUGCUUAUUGUCCAUACGGCAUUCAUAUCCUCGGCAAGGUUAGUCCGCAACUUCCUAGCCUUCAUUACAGCAUGCUAAUGUGUUAAAUUUGUGGCUACUCUUUGGUAUUUUACAUAAAGUGGAAGGUCAGUGUAGGAAUUAGGAAUUUAGCAGAUGUUGUCGUUGCGAUGGUCAUAAUAUAAACGGAUAUAAAUCUUCAAGCUUCUAACUAGGAUUAGUUCAUUCUGUCAUGAUCUUAUAUAAUACUGUGGUCAAACAAAACAAUAUACUGUUUGAAGUGUUGAACUCAUCAAACCCUCCAACUUACCCAUAUACAUAUACAUAUACAUAAAUACAAUCACAUAGAGAUACAUGUAUGCAUAUAUUUAUGUAUGUAUAAGGUGUUGCUGCAUAUGGAGCACUCUGAUUUAAGGAACCUGCCAGCCCAAAUAUCCAAGAUUCACAAAGGUGUUGCUCAUAUCCUUAAACCCUAGCUUAUGAGAAAACUAACAUUCAUGGGGUGGAAAGAUAGCAUUUCAGUAUGUGAGAUAGAUGAAUUGUUUGUGAUUGGAUCAAUCAGGAUGGAUCACUAUUAUCUCUUGAGUUAGCUUUUUUUUUCCUCAUUUGACAUUUUUUUAUGAACAAAUGCCAAUUAUAUAAGUUGAUAAAUGCCAUCGCAGUUUUGAAUUGGUUCGCCUCUCUUAUUUCUCUAUAAUAAACAAAGAGAGCUGAAACUUGGAGCAUGUACACGUAAUGCGUGGGAAGUGUUUGAAGAAGAGAUAAACAUAAGCAACCUUAGGAGGUAAUAAUGGUAUUUUUCUUUCCAAGGUUACCAUUAAGUCAAAUUAAGUAUUGAUACUCCCAUAGGCCAAGCUACGACAAUCACGACCCCAAACAAAGAUGGAUGGGGGUUAUAUCAGAAUUCACCUUCCUUCACAUGAAUCCAUUGUCAGAUCAACUCAAAGCACAUAUCUCAAAGCACCAGAACUCUAUAAUCAAUUGUCUGCACAUAUCUGAAAGUGACAAAUGGAUGAUCCAGUGAUGGAUUGGCACGAAGAAAAUUGAAACCUUCCUUCACACAAAAGAUACACCCAUUAUCCAACAAAGAUUUUAUAUAUAAUAUCCUCAACUACCCUAUAUAGGACAUUGUAGUGUCAGGCAUAGAUAUAUGAACCUAUGAACUUCGCAUGUAGCAUUUAACUCAUACAUCACGAGCUUGUAACCUGGUCACUGAACCCUGUCAGUGGUGUCAGCCCCAGACUCGUACUCGCCCAAUCCUGGUAGGCUGAAUCAAUUCGGACCAACCCUAACAUGACAAAUUUUAACUUCAUAGAGCUGCAGGGAGAUGGGGGAAAGCUGAAAUAUUAACUUGAAUAGAUGCAGGUCAGAUCCAAUUCCCAACCGGCUACGCCUUGUUACGUGUGAAAGAACAUCUUAAAAAAGGAUAAAACUCUCAUUACCAUGAAAAUGGCACGUACUAUAUAUAAGAAAAGUCUGACACAGUGCACGAAUAUAAUAAAUAUAAAUUUUAUUGAUAAGUUUUCUUCAAUUAUAGUCAAUUUUCUAUUACAAAUAAUUCCGAUAACUCCAGAAAAAAAAAAAAGGUAGUUAUCUAUUAUAGAGAUGGUGUAUUUUUUUUUAUAUAGACAAAUCAAGUAAUUGAGAUGAAUACGGAUACGGAUAUGGAUACGGAUACGGAUAUCAAACGAAUAUCGAAAUUAAUAUCUAUAUUUGUUCUAAAUAAAUACAGAUACGAAUAAAAAAUUAAGUAUAUUCAUAUUUGUUAUAAACGGAUUCAGAUGCAAAUCAGAUAUUAAGUAUAUCCAUAUUUGUUAUAAACGGAUACGGAUAUAAAUAAGAUAUUUUUAGAUAUUAAUCAAAAUUUGAGAAAAAUUCAAUAAUGAAAACUAGCAAUAAAGACAUGGUUAUAAAGAAAAAAUUUAAUUAAGAAAAUAUAAUUUUAACAAGCAUUCAUUAAUAAUAAAAAUUAAAAAUAAUGAUAUAAUUAUAUAGGAUAUAUUAAUGAAAAACUACAAUUUUAGCAAACAUUCAUCAAAAGUUAAAAGCAAAAUUUUAAUGAAAACAAUAAUUCAAAAAUAAAAACCAUAAUGACAUAUUCAUAAAGAAUAGAUUUAAUUAAAAAAUUGCAAAUAGGGAUGGAAUUGGGCAGCCGGUCCAUCUUUGGGUUAUGUUCUGAGCCUGGUCCAAAAUGGUGCAAUCUCGAGUUAUAGGGCUCAAACUAAGGUACAGUCCAAACUGAAGCCUGAUUUGGAGGCCGACUUGGCCCAACCCAGACAACUCACUCACCUCUCUCUCCCUAUCCUGAUUUCUCCCCCUCCCCCUCCCCCUCCCCCUCCUAUCUCCUCUCCUUCAUAACUUUUUUCAAGGAAAUUAUCAUACUUCGUAUCGAGAAGCUCCUUCAAAUAAAGGAGGGGGUGCAAUUACGUGGUUAUGUCCUAAGCCUGACCGUGCCUCAAAGUCCAUAAGCUAUAAUAAAUUUGGGCCAGGCCUAGCUCAAGGUGAUUUUAGCUGACCUAAUGAUUGUAUAUUGCAAACUAAAGUUGGUCCUCUAUUUAAAGUUGUACACAAUUAUUAUGGCAUGCUUUGGUAGUGUAAAAAUAUUGUCCACAUAACUAAAAAACAUAAAAAUCUCUGAUAAGAUGACAAAAAAAGUUUAUAAAAAAAUAAUGAUAUACAACUCUUAUGUUUUCUCAGUGAAAAAUAUUUUGCAUUGUCACUUAAAAGAAAAGGUGAAAUGAUAUAAUUAUACAUCAGUUUUGCAACUCUUUUGCAUGAAAUUUGGGUAUUAUCGUAACAUUUAUUAUUUCAUAAAAACUUGUUUACGAGAAUUGUUGGUUGUUAUAUUAUUAUUUAACCCAAAAAGAUACUAAGGGAUUUUCAUUUUUCACAAAGAAAAUUCUAUAAAGGGGAUCGAAGCGGACCGGUCUGCGGUGGGUAAGAAGACCGGUCUGGUUCGGUUUGCUUUUUUUUUUUUUUUAUCCGGUCGGUAGGCGUAACCAAAGCUAAAAGCCGGCAUAAAAGACCGCGGCUUGCCGAUUUGCGGCUCGCAGCUGAUCGCCGAAAGACCUAGGGCUGGGCCUGCGAGCCUCUCCGCCGGAACGAAGCCAGUUCUUCGGGUUUUAGCAGAGCUAGGGUUCGUAUUCCUUUUCUGAAGUCAGCUCCCUCUACGAAACCUCCCGCGUAAAAUCGCCGUUCGCGGUUCCAAGGUCUGAAUCUUUCUUCGAACUCCAUUUUUUUAAAUUUAUUAUUCCCUUUUUAGUUCUGAAUCUAAUGCUUUUCAUGUUAGUUUAUCAGGCCGAUCGAUUUUAUUUUAUUUUUUAACUUAAAGAAAACGAUAGAGCAGUGGAAAUAGCAAAAAAAGAAAUAACGAUUAGACCUUGUGGUGUGGUAGGAGUUGAAGUGCAUCAUCAAGAUUAUGGCCCAAAAAAAGAAGUUUUCUGCAAGUCUAAUGGAUAAUUCUGGUUAUGAUGUUGUUUUUCUAUGACUUCUCAAUGCCUUCGAUUCAGAAUGCUUGUAUGUCUGGUACUGCAGGCAAUUUAAUGUAAGAAACAAAUAUUGUUUCUAUCCCCUCCUUUACGUGAUUAUUUAUGUCCAUUGUCUAUCUAGUUCUUUCAGGUACUGAAUUGCCAAAAUUGAUACAUAAAAUUAAAAUUUAGUAAAUGAUUGCAAUGUGGUUGGUUUUUAUAAGGUGGAACCGAAUAGGAUAAGUUUUGCUGCUUAUAUUAUUCUAAUGUAUAGAUUUGUUUGGGAACAUAGCUUGUAAUAUCUAUUGUUAAAGCAGUUGGGAAAUAGUAACCUUUUUUCCAUGAUAAAAAGAUGACAACUGCAUCAUGAUGAGUUGCACUGCUCAAUUGAAUUUCCUCCAUUUGCUUAUUCUAGCACAUUAUUACUGUUUGGAGUUUAAAUAUGCUGAUUUUUCAUAUUUGCAGUUGUACCAUGUUUGAUUGAACAUUUUAUGGCUUGUUUUGGUUCAAAAACCCUUCGACGGAAAGAACUCAGAUCAAAUACUUCAUUGGAUAUGGGCGAAGAGGAGAAAUUAUCCAGGAGAAGAGGAAAGAAGGACAAUAAAAAUAAAAAACCUAGAAAAGGGCCUCUCAACUUGGCUGAGGAUUUCUCAUCAAAGCAAGAGGGAAUAAAAAAGAACAAGAGUAAGAAGCAGAGCAGAGGGCAUUCAAAUGCAGUCAAAGAUGGUCCCCCUGAAAACUCAUCAAAGGUAGCCUGCAAAAGCGUGAAAACUAAGGAGUCCUCGAAGCAUCAUUAUCCGUCAGAACCUAAAGCACCCACACUCAGGUUCGAGUCAACUCUUUUACGGCACUUCUCUCAUGAGUCUGGUGUUUGUAUUCAAAUUUAACACCAUAAUUCCAAUUGUUCCUUGAUAUUAAGCCAGGACAUUAUAUUUUCUUGGCAUGAUUGCCAAUUAACAAUGUCUACUUAUUUCUGAUAAAUUAUUUAUUCAUUCUAACUGAUGGAUCACAGCUGCCAUGCAGAAAAAAGGUUGAUCCAGAAACUGCAAAGUACUUCUCAGAAAUCACAAAUCUAUUUCAAAACGGUGGCAUUGACUUAGAGGAGCGUUCUGCCAUCUGUGGCAAUGCCUUAGAAGAAACUAGAGGGAAAGAAGUGGAACUUGCAACCGACAUGAUUAUUAGUCACACCUUGCAAAAUCUUCUACAGGGUUGUGAGUUGGACCAGCUAUGUGGGUUUCUACAAAACUGCGCAAAAGAAUUUCCUGCCAUUGCAAUGGAUAAGUUUGGAUCUCAUGUGGCUGAGACAGCUCUCAAGUCUGUAGCUACACAUCUUCAGGAUGAAGGAUCCUAUUCUUAUAUCGAAGAAACAUUGACCAAGUUAUGUCAGGUAUGUCUUAUAUAUAUUUAUUAUGUUCUCAUUGAGGGUAUUCUUGUACUAAUUCAUAUAUGUGUUCUGUCAGGUGGUUGUUCUUGAUGCUGUCAGUGUGAUGUGCAGCCGCUAUGGAUCUCAUGUCCUCCGAAGUCUUCUUUGUCUUUGUAAGGGAGUUCCAUUAGACUCCUUGGAAGAAUUUCAUGUGACUAAGUCAUCUGCUGUUCUGGCUGAGCGGUUGAAUUGUAGGCCAGCACAACCAAGCGGAAAUAAUUCCAAGAAUUUUCAACAUGGAUUUGCGGUUACAUUUAAAUAUCUAAUCAGGGAAAUGCUAAACCAUGCCAAAGACGAGAUUGCAACUCUAAGAGUCAACAAGUAUAGCAGUUUGGUUUUGCAGGCAUGUGUUCCAUCACAUGACAUAAAUAGUGUUUGUAUGUGACUGUUAUAAUAUCGUGGCUUUUGUCUUAUUUAUUAAUUACAUCAUUUGCAGAGUGCAUUAAAGUUGUUAGUUGGGGAUGAUCAAGAAUUGUUGCAUGCAAUUUUGAUCCUUCUUGGCUGCUAUGAAGAAAACAUUGCUCAGGAAAUUUUCAUUGAUAGUGCAAGAAAACAAGAAAUUAUGGCUUUGCUUGAAGAUACUUCUUGUAGCCAUCUAUUGGAGGUGCUUUCCUCAUCCUUCUGAUUUAAAUCUAUCAUAUUUGCUCAAAAUCUACAUGUACCUUAAUGCAAAAGAUUUUUCUCACGUCUUUCUGUGGACGUACUGUUUCCACUUGUGCAUUCCUAUAUACCUUUAAGAAUAAUAUUUUAGUUGUUGUUUCGAUUGCUGGUGAGAGCAAUUUCUUAUGUAAUAUACUUUGAAAUUUAAACUCCUGAGCAUACACCUCAUGUUAAAUCGAAACUAUUUAACUUACAUUUAGUGGCUAUAUUCCUUCAUAGUUUUGAACAGUGACAUGUAACAACUUAGUUUUGGAUUAGUGAUGUAGGCUUAAGGCACUAUUUGCUGGUUUAUGUGCAUCAUUGUACACCAUUUUGGAGUGCCAACACCUCAUUAUAUAUCACAUUUGGUUAUUUCAUCCUAAAUAAGUUUCUGGGAUGAAUACUUUAGAAACACCUUACUGUAAAUGACUUACAAAGUUUAUGAUCCUCAACUGUUAAUCUAUGAAAAUAACUGAAAGCUUAUACCUUCAGAUAUUGCUUAUAAUCCUGUCUUCCAUGUUGUUGGAUGGAUAUAUACUUACUGCAUCCAGAUUUUAUUGAGUAAGAGAUGAUAUCUUCUUAACCAUCAUUCAUAUUAGUGUGACAUCAUGUGGAUGAGGCACUAAGUGGGUGUGCUAACUGAAUAAAUUAUUACCUGAAUAAUUGCAGUUGCUGGUUUGUGCCCUUAUUUAAGAUAAUGUUCACGAUUAUGUUGUUAACAGCUAUUAUGGGUACAUUAUGAGCAUAAGAAUGAUGUUAAUAACUGCCAUAAUGGUCUCUAUUUGGUUUUCUUACCAUUUGCAUAUUAAAAUUUUAUUUUGUUCAACAUUUUAAAAAUAUAUAGAAAUUGACAUUAAAUGCGCAUUUGGUUUGCAACCGGAAUCGGAAUUUGAAUAGGUUGGAAUGAAAAUCGAAAUAGCCAUAUCCUCCGACUUGUUUGGUUCAUGAUUGGAAUUGGAAUUGGAAAAUCAAUUCAACAGAGGGGUGUUUUUGAAAAAUCAAUUAAGUAGAGUGGUAUUUUGAAAAAAAUAAUUUUUAAAUUAAAGUUAGUAGAAUGGGAUUUGAAUAUUGGGGUGAGAGCCGGGAUUGGGUUUUGGGAGAUUGGGGCAUUCCUAUUCUCCCUUGGAAUAAGAACGAGACUCCCCUCAACCAAAAGGCUGGAGUGGGAGUCACUCAUUUUCAUUCCCAUUCCAGAGCCCAAUUCCUCCAACCAAACAUAUCCUAAGUAGUAUUAUAUUCUAGUAAUUGUGAAUGUGUCAUGUAAGUUGUAACACCAUUAUUCUGCUGAUAUUACAUGUUAUUUUUCAGCCAGUAGCAAGUUUUACUCAUUUUACUUUUUUUGGGCAAGCAUUCUUUUACUUUAAAAAAUACAGUCAAAGGUUGGAUUGAGCGAAUGAGGCUGUCAUUUUUGUUAUACAGUUUAUAAUGGUAAACUUGGGGUUGUUGUGAUGGGAUAAUGGUAGUUUUGAAUUCUCUGCUUCCACCCUGCUCUUCCAUCUCCCUGCAGGAAACAAUGACUUUGACUCCCUAGAUGUUAGGGUUUUUUAGGCUUAAAUUAACCUGCCUAAUGUCAUGGUUGCGAGUAUUCUGGAUGCUUGUAGGGCUUAUAGGUAAAUGGUCAAGGCUUGCCAAGAUUAAAAGUCAGAUUUUUGCAUUAUUUAGCUAGUGACUAUUGUGAGUAUGCAUUUCUUGUGCUCUUGGGGUAAGGGGAUGUUAGUAAUUUGUAGGUAAUGAUGCUAGUGGUUUGCUUGAUAUUAUACACUUAGCAGGCUGGGAACUAGGGUGAUGCCCAUGGUUUGGAUGGGUGUCUUUGGAGGGUUAAGCUAUUCCAAAUGUCAAGCCUAGGUUUGUUGUUGGUAGAGCAAAUAAAGUGAAAAUUCGAUGAGAUGAUUUUUUUGAUUCUAACCCUUUUGAAUUUGCUCUCCACCAUUUUUAUUCUGGCAAAUAGAAUAAUUAUUCUAUCUGUGUUCCUCCACAAAAAUUUCUACAAAAGGCAUUGGAUUGGAUGUCAGCCAAAAUGAAUCUAGCGCAGUCUAAACCACAAUUCCUUUGGUUUAAUCUGAUUAAAAUUGUUUUCACUUUCGUAUAGUGACUGUUAGAUUGGCUACUGCCACAUACCUUCUGAUUCUAUACUAGUUGGAUGAGGCUUCCAAUCAAAUCUCUCUAUAGUAUAAGCACAUGUCAAAAAAAUCUGCAUUCUUUCAGUAUUUACAAUAGAUAUUUGUAAGUGCUAUGGGGUACUAUGUACAGGUUGAUGGGACAUGGUUCUUGAUCCAUUUGAGCACCAAAUAAGUACUUUGAAGAGAAUCUGAUGUAUACUCACAAAAUAUAAGACUUAUCAAAGUUGUGGAAGCUUCCAAUUGCUCGUAGAUCUUACUAUUCACACGCUCUCAUCUGGGCUUCUUCCACAAGGAAUGGUGCAUUAUGCCCAAUCCCUAAUAUCACCGUGAAGACUGAUCUUUUUUUUUUCUCCCUAACUUGAAAUAGUUGUUUCAACUUAACAUAUAGUCUAGUUUCAGAGUUAUCUAUUAAGAGCUUAUGUGGGUCCAUAAGACUCAGGAUUUUUAAUAUGUGAGUGCAUGCUGAACUAUGUAAUAAAGGUCCCAAUGGACAAAUUUUGCAGGAUGCAUAUUGAACAAAAUUAAAUUUGUAGUAAUCGAUAAUGGGAGACUAAAGAGUAAAAGUAUAACAGAUCCUUCUUCCCAUUGCCUGCAGAAUUUUGAAUGUAUCUGUUGAGAAUUCUUCCUUCGGCCUUUAAUCUUGUUUAUCCCCUUUUUUUUUCUUUUUCUUUUUUGUUGGGACCCUGUCCUGUUUCCUUUCACUUUUUGUGUUGUUUAAUUUGACUGUUUAUUUUUUUUUAAAUAUUAUUUAAGCAAGUUCAUUACAUAUCCUGGUGUUCAUAACCAUGACUCUUUCAGUUGGUGAUUUAUUUAAUGGCUAAUGAUAAGCAAAUUAGCUCUUCAUUUUUUAGAUGACGUGGUUUCAUCCUUUGCUAAUUGACGCUGCCAUCUACUUAUGUCUAUCUAGUUAUUUCAUUCUAAAUAUUUUGCAACACUUGUAUUUCUAUCACAAUAUUACUAGAAAAACAUUGCUAAACAUUAACUAUUAUAGGCUACGGCUGAUUGUUUGCUGGGCAUGUUUUCUGAUAUUUCUCUGGCUGUUGGACCCCUGUCAAACUGUCAACCAUCUAUUGAAUUCUGCACAUAUACAUGCUUCUCAUUAUUGUUUUCUGGUAUAUGUUUUCUGAUGCUGGUUCAUUAAAGAAAGCGGCUUAUUGUUUGUCAUUUACAGGUCAUUAUUGAAGUGGCCCCGCAGAUUCUGUACAACGAGUUGCUGACUAAAGUGUUCAAAGGGUCAUUACUUAAAAUUUCAUCUCAUCGUUGUGGCAAUUUUGUUGUGCAAGCAUUAGUGUCUUCAACAAAAACCAGUGAUCAAGUACAUUUUCUUUUCUUUUUCCACCAUUACAUUGAGCUGCUCAUUACCUCAUAUCGAUCUCUGCAAAUUGUCUGGUGGCGUGAUCUUCUUUAGGUUGAAAUAUGUGUUAUUUUUCCUCCUGAGAUUUUGUUACUUCUAAUAUACUGAAGGAUGAAGACAAGGUCAUUUGCUUUUGUGUAAGAUUACUGGAGUGUGGCACAUGUGAUGCCCAUGGUUUUUAUAUAUAUAGAAAAAAUAAAUGGUGAGAACCAUUUGAAUAAGUAACAAAAAAUGCUAGGGGAAGGGCUCGAGAGUAGUUAGUGGACAAGCUCUAACCAACCUGUGCACAUGCUAUAAAAAAAUAUGUAGACAUGGGGUGGGGAAAUGCAAAUACAGAGGAAAACAUGGAUGGAUGGGCGUGCUUCACUAAGGGGCUGUCACGCUUAUUGGGAGAAUUAGCAUUAUAUAUUAAAAUAGAUGUUUACUACUGAUCAUACGAGUCCUUAUUUUAUGAUUACUGUGUUCCAAAACUUAGAUACACAAGUUUGUUAUUCAAAUCUCUGACUAUUACUUUAGUAAUCUGCAAAACAAGUUGCUUCAGGGUGAAUUUGUGCAAUGAGGUGGGCUGCUUUGGAUUAUUGUGUAAAAGGAAACAGUCAUAAUAGUGUGUCAUAUGAGUUCUCUUGCAUAGGGACAGCAUGAUUUGUUGAGGAACUUUACUACUGCUUCACAAAUCUGCCAGGAGAACAUCUUGAUAACGAGAAUGUGCUGGCCUUGUCAUGAUUGCCUGCAACAGAGUUGCAUUUAACACCAUUCCCUUUCCAUGCUUGCUCAUGUUGUGCCCACCUUAUGUCUUAAAAUUGCUAUUGGUUUCUAAUGAAUGCAAACAUUGGUUUGUGAGCACCUGAGUAUUUUCUUGAGAAAAACAUAUCUUAUGCAUUGUGUUUACCAUUAUAUGUAUAACUCCUCUAUUUUUUAUUUUUUUUUGCUAUUGGAACAAUAAAUGAUGGUGCCAUAGAAAAUUUCUUGUGUCCUUUUCUGCACAGAUGGACUUGAUCUGGGAGGAGCUUGGUCCAAAGUUUAAGGAACUACUUGAAGUUGGGAAGGCAGGUGUCAUAGCUUCUAUUUUAGCAGCAUGCCAACGGCUUCAAACCCAUGCCCAUGAGGUUUUCAACUUUUUGUCUCGUCAUUGCAAUUUUUUUAUUUGAAUAUUUUGCAUUUUCUCUUUCAAUGUCAACCUUAUUUUUUCUUGUCUGGGUCAAUUUUUUGUUCUCAUGUGCAGUGUUGUCAGGCCCUUGCUUCUGCAGUAAGUUCAGAUUCUGAAUAUCCCAGUUGCAUAAUUCCACACAUGCUAUUUCUGGAGAGCUACUUCAGGGAUAAAUCCUGUUGGAAAUGGCCUCUGGAUGGCAAGAUGCACGUAUUGGGUUGUUUGAUGCUACAGACUAUUUUUAGAUAUCCAAGUGUACGUCAAAAUCUACUCUCCUCUUUUCAUGUUGAGGUGUAUUCUUUCAUAUUCAUUAUUUUCAGUGGAAAUCCUAUAUUUAAUCUUCUUUAUGACAACUAGUUAAGAUUGGAAUGGGGAAAGGAUAAUGUAAUAGAUGUCUUGGUUACAUUUGUUUGGUAUGACUGUCAAGGAGCAUUCAUUGUUUUCGUGCUUUCAUAUAAUGUGAUUCUAUUCUCAGUUUGCCCUUUCAAUUGAAAGCUUUUCAUUCUUUCAAAUCAAGUGUAAGAUUAUUACUUUGUACUGUGGCUCUGUAUUACUCUAAUUAACUAUUAUUGUUUGAACGAAUGCAUGUGAGAUCAACAUAUACAUAUACAUACACAUGCACAUGUGGCUGCUUCAAAAGUCAUCACCAAUGUACUAAAGUUAAUAUUUUUUUGUCCAUCUCCCAUCCUUAAUGACAUGAGAUAUGUUGAAACUCUUGCCUUGCAUCUGAUUAAUGUGAUAUGUGUUCAAUUAAUUUCUUUGAAUUGUGAACUUCUUCAACUAGAUUAAGAAACAAUUACAUGAAUAACUGAGGCUGAAUUAUGCAGAAAAUGCUUUAUUUGGUAGCAUGAAAAGGUUGUGUUUUGAAAUAUUAAUGUGCAUAAUAUAGGCAAACCGUGCCACUAUUGCGAGGUUUACUUUGAUUUCAUUUUUUUCUAGGUUUUUCAAAACCCAGAAUUCUUAUGUCUUCACUGAACUGCAUCUCUGUUCCAUCUUGGCAUAUCUAACAGUAUAUUAUCUCAAACCUCGGUAGAAAUCUGGUCUAAUGAUAUAUUAUGGGGAUUCUUUCUUAGGUACCCUUCAAAAUAAAAUUCUAGUCCCAUAUAUAAUUUCCAGUUAUUUGUAUUACCGGAUAAUCCUGCAAGUUUCUGAAUUUCCUUGUGACAAAUGAUUCUUAAACAGCAACUUAUUGGGCCAUACAUCUCCAGUAUUACAUCUAUGGAAGCUGAACAUAUCUUCCAAACUGCCAAAGAUGCUGGAGGAGCCCGUGUUCUUGAAGUUUUCCUUUGUUCUGAUGCUACUGCAAAACAAAAGCUUAAAGUUAUUACCAGGUAAAGCAUCGAACUACAUCCAAACCUCAUAAUUUUCCUAUACAUGUUCUUGCAUAUUUUUUAUGCUUGUUUUGUUAGUAUGUGUUUAUGAAAGAGUGUUUUUAUCAGAAAACAGUCUAACUGCAUGUUCUUGAAGUUAGUGCUGCGAAUGAAAAAAAUGACAUCCUAAAUAGGAAGGUAGUGAGAUAGGUCUCUGAGUAUCUAAUCGAAGAUCUGGCCUAGCCCAAUUUAAAGUGGAGCCACUACAACUAAUACAUUCCUUUAGGUGACACCUAUCUAUUUAUUAUUUUAUUUUUUACUUUUUCAUUUGAGAAAAGGGAGGGGGACCAACCCAUUUAUUAGAUUUUUUAAAAACAUAUUAGAAGGGGUACAAAGGGGAAGAGAGAGGUGCAAAGGAUGAAGGAGGAUAUGGUAAGGUAAGGAAACACAAAAGAAGAGUUAAGAGAGGAGGUUCCACACAUGUUGGUAGCCAGUCUUGGCCUUUAGGAUUGCAGAGCAUUGAUGAAUCUUUGAACAGGGCAAUCACAGAAUUUAGGACCAUGUCGUGGGUGGAGGAUAUCUCUAAUAUAUUAUUAUUAUUUUAUCCAAUAACCAUAAAAUAAAAAAAUAUAUAAAUGUUUCUUCUAUAAGGUUCGGACUGAGUUAGUCUUGGAGAGAAAUGGCAGUCUUACAGAAGGAAUUUGUAGUUUAGAACUCCAAAACAUACUAGUAAAAGAACUGCAACCAAAAUUUAACACAUUGUCAUUAUGAUGUCUUAUAUUAGAAGUUUUGCAACCUAUUUCAUUAGGGAGAUACAGUACAUGUUUGCAUGUGGGCCACAAAAUCUUACACCUCAUUUAGAAAGACUCACUUAUUUGUCUGAAAAUAAAGCACAAAAUGCCCAUUUUUUGCAAUUAGUGAUGUGCAACCAUAUUGUGAUUACAGCUACACCAAAUCAUGCUUCUUUAAAUUCCUGUUAGGAAGUACUUGAUGUUGUGUUCCCCCCAGGAGCUAUAGUUAGAAGUCUCUGUUGUACAAUAUCAGGCAUGGUGAUUCUCCUUAAACUUCCUUGGACAACCUUAGAUCCCCAUCAGAUCCUCUUCCCACCACAAAAAUCAUAACCAACAAGCCUUACUAAUUUUUGGCCAGCUAACCGAUUUUCAACUAACUGUGACAUCCUUUAUCACUAUCAACGUUUUGGAUCCUUCCUAACUUCAGUUUAUGAUGGUUAUGACUUCCCCUUCUUGUUGACCCUUCCAAUCUUAUUCCCUCCUCAUUGAUGCCUCUCAGAUAUUUGUUGCAAAUGGCCCAUUGUAGUCACCCAUGAGGUUUGAAAUCUUGGUAUUGGUCAACAUAUUGGUUUUGUACAAAUGGCCCAUUGUAGUCACCCAUGAGGUUUGAAAUCUUGGUAUUGGUCAACAUAUUGGUUUUGUACAGGAAUGAUAUGGCACCACUAUGCACCAUACCAUACCAACCAAUACAUAGUUGAUAGUACAGUAGUUGGUGCCAGAACAGCAGCCAGCACCUUUUUUUGUAGUAGCUCAAAGGGUAUCCCAAGCACCAGCCCUUCACUGGUCUGGUCCAAUGCGAACAAACUAGUACUCAAUUCUUUUGUUUCCCUUUCAUGACAAUGCCACUUCUAUGAUUCUUUUAAUGUUAUCUAGUCUUAUUGUUCUCUUUUUCUGAUCGUGCCAUUGCUCUUUCACACUUCCACCUCAAGAUUCUCAUGUUUGUCAUGCUCAAGUACAUGUUUGCACCUCCUUUGUUACCCGAAAUUCCAAUCUAAUCUCAUUUUUUGCUCUUCUAGUUCCUUUAUAUAUCUAUGCCUAUCUUUCUUUCGUGUGCCGGUUCAUGACAACAAAUAUGAUCACAGAGGAUUAUAUUUUGGAUAUCAAUGUUAACUGUAUCAUCCUUUUACUUUAUAUUCCUGCUAAAUUUGCAUUCCACAUAGAGUCUUGAUUCUAGUCAUUCUGCUAAUUUUUGUACCAUCUUCCAAAGCUUUCUUUAAAAAAAAAUCCAAUUUCAAUUUCAUUGCUUUCUCAAUUUACUAAGUAAUUCCACACUGUCUUUAAAUUAAAGUCCCAAAAAAUGCCCUGCUGAAUAUCAACAGGAAUUUCAACUGUGCAUAUUAGGAGACAAGGGCCGAUAGGAAGCCGUUGUGAAGGCUUAUCGAGGUCAUAAGUAGUACAAGUUUCUAUGCAUUAAAUGUUCAGGUCUCAAUAUUUCUUUGAUGAAUAGCUUACAAGGCCUAUAUUAUUCUAAAUUAGAUAAGUUGAUUUUGCAAAGGUUUUACAUAUUAAGUGUUGCACUUACCAUACUGGUUAAGGUUCCUGCACUAUAGUGGACAGCAUAACUUAUGUGUUUCAAAGAGUUAAAUACAUUUGAUGUAAGAACCUUUAAGCAAAAAUUUAGUGCAACUUGAAAGACAUACAACAUGUGUAAAAGUAUAAGAGUUGGACUGCACAAUUUGCAUUAACUCCUUGUCAAAGGAGUUAAUGUUUUUAAAAUCAAUGAUAGGGAAUACAAAGUGAAGAUCGAACAUGAUCUACACUACAAAGAAUGUGUAGAAACCAAAAUUCAUAUACAAGGAGUUAACGAGCUUAAAAUAAAUGAUAGGAAAUUUAAAUUGAAGAUCCAAAUCAUUGAACAUAGGCUAUACUACAGAAGAAAGCUUAGAAACCAAAAUUCAUAUAUUUUGGUGGUCUAAUCUAUGUAUCAAGCUGGUACAAGAAUGAAAGGUAUCAAUUGCAUUUGGAUGGUAAAAUACAUGGAGCAUGUAAAGUGAAAAUCCACCAUUAUGGAUCAUGAUCUUCACUAGGUUUUGAUGGUUAAAUCAUUGUAAAUUCACUAGGUUUUGAUGGUUAAAUCAUAGUAAAACAUAUCAUGCUGAAACCAACCAUUUUGAUGCCUACCUGAUGAUUGACACAUGAAUUUUGAUUUCUAGGCAUUUUUGUAGUAUAGAUCAUGUUCAACAUCUUGGAUCUUGAAUUUAGAUAGUCUAUUGUUUGUGAAUUGUUGACUUUCUUUUUCAAUGAAUUAAUAUAAAGUGUGCAGUACAACUCAAAAUGUAUAAUUUUUUAUUACUAUGCAUCACAUUACAAUUGCAUUGCAUGUUCCUACAGCUCAAAACUUUAAAAUAUAAGUUAGAAAUUUGUGUUUCUUUUUACCAAAUAAUGUUAUAGUACAAAGUGUGAAGACAAAUGCGUAAAUCUGACUACUGCUGUAUGGAAAAAUGCAGGAUGAGAUAAAACCCUGUAGAAAUUUUCUUUUCUUUUAUUGGUAAAUUUAAAGCAAUUCAUGCAACAAAUACAAUUUUUAAGAUGAAAUAGUUGGAAAUUUUAUUGAGAGUGAUAAUAUGUGUAAAACUAAUACUAAUUACUUGUAUUCAGCCUUAACUUUUUCUUAUGAUAUGUCAUAUUCCAUUUGAAAAGAAAUAUUUCCAUAAUGUGUUAUUUUUCCACUAAAAAGAAAUAUAAGUGUAUAUUUACCAGAUUUAGCAAAAACUUUCCAAACAUUUGCCUUCUUUCUAUUGCCCUUUCUCUCUUCUUUGCAAACUAUUUUUUCCUGUCACAACCCAAGACCUUACCCAAAAUAGCUAGCCGAAAGGUAUUUUUUAGGUUCCUCAAUCCUAUAUAAGUAUCCAAGAUCUUCUCGGCGAGUAACCGAUGUGAGACUAAGCACAUGCCUGCACGGGUCCUCACAUACUCCUGUUCAGGCCUUGACGUCCUCGUCAGUUUAAGGGUUCAAAUCCAUUCAAAUCUAAUUACAAGCACCACAAUUGGCCUAUGGUUAGCCUCUAUGAACCCUUGCUGCAGUGUCCCCUAGUCUACAUAAGCUGUGGGCCGAGUUCGCUCUGAUACUAUUUGUCACAACGCAAAACCUCACCCAAAAUAGGUAGCUAAAAGGUAUUUUUUUGGGUUCCUUAGUUCUGUAUAAGGACCCUGGAUUUUCUCAAUGAAUAACCGAUGGGAGACUAAACACACGCCUGCACGGGUCCUUACACCCCCACCCCUCUACAAUUGCCUUCUUUAAAUUGCUAGUUUUUGUAGGAACAUGGUAAAUGAUUUGUUUCCUUAUAUCAUCCUUAUUCUACAAUAUAGAUCCCUUGUUAUGUUUUGUCUUUGUCUCUCUCUUUCUGUCAGUUGGGGUCCUAGCUCCGAAUACAAAGCUGAAACAGAGCAGACAUAUAAACAGACUAUAAGCAUUCAAAACCCACACCAUUUGCAUCAGCUUGUGCCUUCAGUAGAACCUCUACUGAAAUGUUAUCCUCUCAGACCAUUAGCUUCUGCAAUUGGCACCCUUGAUUGGCCAAAUAAUCCACUACCUGCUCCCCUUGGGUCAUUAUGGCAUUCAUCACUAUACUUGGCUAUCUAACUACAAAUCCUGGAGUUUUGCAAGCAUGACUGUGUGGCAAUCAUGAACUGCUAGUUAGAGUUGAUAAAUGCAAACCCCCUUUUCUUUUCGCAUUGGUUGAAUGUCCAAGGGCUUACUAGAUUCCAACUACUUUGACUGAAUGCCCAAGGGCCAACUACUUCCACCUUGGCUUUCUUUUAAAUUUCUAGCAUGAUAAAGUUCUUUUGUCUUUUUAUCCGUUUCCAGGUUAGCUGGGUUAAGUCAGGUUGAGUUGGAUUGUGCCAUGUUAAUUGGAUUAUAUUGAGUUGAAUAGGAAUUUAGGAUAGGGGAAAUGUUUGGUACAUAUUGUUGAGUUGAGAUCUCAAUUGUUCAUAAAUUUCAAUAGCAGGGACAGACAACUAUGUCUUGCUUUUUUCCCCCAAGCCAAUUGCAGAUUAUUAACAAUCGCAAGCAUUCGGUGCCUAUUUCUUAAGUUACAAUGAUAUUUAGUUAUUUACAUCCAAAGAACCCACUGCAAAAAAUGGUUAAUAACUUAAUAUGGCACUCUAAUAAAGUGUAUAUUUAAACUGUGGGUUCGAGGGUUUUUAAUAACAUUGUCAAGUCACAGAUGAGAUUAUGGGGGUGAAAAGCUCCCUAGGAAACUUUGUGAUUCUGAUCUUCGUGUUGUAGUUUUUCACUUUCAGUAGUUCAGUUUCAUGCUGAAUUCAGCUGAAAUACAAGAAGGAACUGCAUUUCGAGAGAAACCUUCAGAAUGUCAGAUUAACUGUUUUUCCCCUUUACCUUGUUUCUUGAAGACUGCAAGAUCAUUAUGGAGAGCUUGCAAUGAAUCCUUCCAGCUCAUUCACAGUUGAGAAGUGCUUCAAUGCUAGUAGCAUGUCUCUGAAAGAGGCUAUAGCAGGGGAGUUGCAUGUCGUGCAAGCAGAACUUUCCAAGACAAAGCAUGGUCCAUAUCUCUUGAAGAAGCUAGAUAUUGAUGGGUAAGAUGGUCAUCCUUUUACAACCUUUUUUCCUUCCCUGGAUUUUAUUAAUCUGUUUUACUCUGGAACAAUUGAGUUCGUUUUUUUUAAUAUAAAUUUUGAUCAACUUCUGAUGAUCUAAAAAUUAGAUCGACAACCAGUUCUAACCAAAUUACAAAUUUUUAUGCCAAAAAAAUGGUCAGAUCACAUAAGUCAUAAUUUUUAUGGAAUAACAAAAUUGGUGACCAGAAAUGUUAAUUUAGUGUAGAUAGAAGUCUCAUAUGAUGACAUCAACAUUCACUACCUUUCUACCCUGUCAUGUCAGGAUGGUUACAUGCAAGUCAUAUAAGAUAAAGAAUACUACAGAAAUUAUUUUCUAAAAAUAAUUAUGGUAAAUUUUAGGUCUACAGGAGGCUAUUGGAUGUGUGGAUGCAUUUGUAUUUUUUUGGAUAAGUUAAUUUAUCAGAAGUGGCUGGACUAGGAGCUCCCUGUUCUUUUAGCAGGAACAUGGGAAUUAUUUGUUGAGGUUAUCAAGUAAUUGCAUACGUAUUCAGCUUAAAAGGAUUUAUUCCCUCACCCUGCUCGAGUUAAUCAGACCUUGCUGCCUGCAUUUUGGUUAAUCUUGUUUUCGACAAAUUUGCAAAACAAGAUGAUUAACUUUUCUCAGCUUUUCGGUCCUGAUUGUGAAUCCAAAAUACAGAAAUUAAUUACUGCUGAAGUUGGUAAUGCCCAUAAAUUUGUCUUUUGUUCAAGCUGGCCACUGUUCAUCCAGUUGCAGCUCUGAGGUUCAAACAUCAAAAGCUUUGAGUUUCAAAUCUUGUCAGAUAGUUUUAAUGCUGCUUUACAUGUGAUAGAGUGGUUUGUCAGCUCAUCAUAACAAGGUUAUAGCAUGAUUUAUUUUUCAUCAUAACCGUCAUCCAAGUUUUUCUCCAUCAAAAUAGAGGGGAUAUGAACCCAAAACCUGAGAAGGCUUUGUCUUGUUUCUUUCCUGGUGUGUGUGAUUAUCCUAUAUAUUUAUGCUCUUCCUGCUUCAUGAUAUUCCCAUUCUUGAGUUUACCUAGGUGCUGGGUGCAGGUUGGCCCAGGGCACAACGAUACACAGAUAUGAUCUAUUCCUUUAGACCCCACAGAUGGCCGUGUUCCAAAUCAACCAUCUAGUUUUGUAUUUAUAUGUUUUUAGAAAACUGGUUGUGAAUAUUUUCUUUGGCUUUUUUGCAGAUUUGCAAAACGACCUGAGCAAUGGAAAUUGCACCAAGCAUCAAAAGAGAGUGCAUACAAAGAAUUCCAGGCUACAUUUGGAUCCAGCAGUAAAUCGAAUGAACAAAAUGUACCAGUACACCAGUCAUCCCAGGAAUCCUCAAGGAAAAGGCAUAAAGGACAUGGGAAAAUGGAUGAUAACAUCGGUCAUGGUCGCAUUUCUAAUGCUGGUGCAUCUUCCAGUGCAGAAUAUCCUGGCCUUGAGAUCUCGAUGGCGAAGUUGGGUUUCCCCGGGCACAAGCAAGGUUUCAAGAGAAAAGGUUAUUCAGAUGAGAACGAUGCCAAAGAAACUCUUAGCAAGAAAUUUAUCAGAAACAGCAUUGAAACUUCAUUUGUGAGGAAAUCUGGGAAGAGAAAAUCGUCAGCAACUGAGCUAGCUGAUCUUGCUGGGAAGGAAACAUUGAGCGCACGUGAAGUUCAAGAGCUCUUUAAACCAACAACCAAGACUGAAAGGCAGCAGUCUGGAAUGGAAAGAACACCUUUUCUGAAGAAACAGAAGAGGUGAUUUUGCAGGUUUCUGGCCAGUGUAUGUUUUGAUUUAUAUGACACUAAUGACACUAUUCGGAAUUUAUAUAAUUGUUAAAUUAUAGAUGAAGUGGAGAGGAUCGUAGGAUUAGAGCAGAAAUGUCACCAGUGACUGGGCAUCUUAAUUUUAUUUAACAUGUGGUGUGAUGUAGAGGAUUAAAGAAAGAGGUUUUCCUUCUUCCAUAUGUUCUUUUGUCUGAGCUGCUCCUCUUGCAACGUUAUUGCCAGAUUAAAAAAUAUCUUGCAUAGUUUUGGUCUGCAAAAUCUGGCAUUGAAAGGACAGGAACAGGUAGCCAGGGAUGCCAUUUUCAUGACAUCAUCCUGUAGCUGCCAUGCAUCUUUAACCGAACACUCAAGUCUUAUGGUAGAGAUUGAUCGGCAAUGGUUCAACGAGCAUUUGCUUGAUAAUGUACUGUAGGAAUGAUAUAUAAUUUACAGGGUCCCAUUUUAAUUAAGGUGUCACUUUUUUUUUCUUUUUGAUGUAAAUGCUAAAAACUAAUUUGAGCUUGAUAAAUUCAGUUCUCUGUAAGUGAUUGCAGCAUUUCUCCACAGAGGAUGGUCAUGUCAGGGAACGAUAAGUGGAGUUGGGAGGACAUGAAAUUACUUUCAUCACUAUAGCGAUUUUGCCACCUUUUAUUUAGUUCUUGAAGUUUUAUAACUAUAAAAUGAUUUUAACAAAUUUCUUCGAUUGCAAUUCCUUAAUGCCCAGGUGACAGACAUUUAGACCAUAAAGAUUGGAUCCACAGACUUGAUAAGUAAUAGUUUGAAUUUCUCAGAAAAAGAUAUGGAAAUGAUUUGCUGGAGUCUGAAAAAGGAUGCUUUUGUUCUCUAUCUGACAAAUGUGGCUUAGAGCUUUCAUUUGAUGGUGCAAUGGUGUCUAUGCUGUUUUGAACAUUUUUCUGAAGUUAUGGAUCGGUAUCUAUGAAACCCCACAAAUAUGGGGAAAUGACUUCCCUAUAAGAAGCCAAGCUGAUUCUUGUUUCUUACCUCUUGUAGCUUAUCUUCUCAAGGAUGUUUGGUUCCCCUCCUUGCACAAGCGAAGUCUAAUUGCUCAAUUUAAUCCCUCUCAAAAAUUUAAUUAUACAUGGAUUAUUCAUCAUGCUCCAAGUUUUACCACAUGGAACUGAUAUAUUUUAUAGUAUGCAUGUAGAAAGCCAUGCUCUUUUGAAGAAGAUCAUAAUUUGAAGGGAGUUUUGUCAUGCCCCAGAUCUGGGACAACACGGCCAUGCUAUUGAGAGGUACCAUCCAUGAUAACAUGAAGCCAACAAUUAUAAUUUAUAUAUAAAUCCAUUUAAAAUAAAAAUAUAACAAAAUGAUCUGAAUCCAUCACCUAUUAAAUAAAUAAAUGAGAGCAGGCACAGAGGGACUAAAUCUAAAUAUAAAUACCCAAAAUCCAUACCUCAAAAUUCAGAAAGUCAUCAACUAUAAAUUCAUAGUCAAUUAAAAAUACUAAAAUUCUUCUACAAAAUCGCAAAGCUUGCUUGCACGAAUUCCAAGCCCGGAUGAUCCUUCGCUCCUAGGGAUCCUAUUCGUCUGACAAGAAAGCAAGUAAACUUUUCACUACCUCAACGGAUCAAGUAUAAGUUUUUACAUUUAUCAAUAAAUCAUUUAGAGAAAUAACUACCAUUAAAAGAUAAAACAUUUCACAAUAACAAUAUAAUCAUAAAUCAAUCAUGCUCUUAUAUAUGCAUAAAUCUUGCAAAUUACAUAAAUAUGGUUUCAAUAUAUAAGCUAAAUCAUAAACCAUGCUAACUUCAUAAAGUCAUAAAUCAUUUAUCAUUUUGUCAUAUCAUAAUUCAUAAUAAUUAUCUUAGACUAAACGCUAAAGUCACUAUUAUACUCGUGGCAGGGUUGUAAUCGACAAAAUACCAACUAUUAUUACGCAUUGAUAGUAUCGUAUGCCAACUGCUAUUACUCUCCGAUAGGAUCGUAUGACAACUACUAUUACUCAUUGAAAAGGUCGUAUGCCAACAACCAUUAUCUGCUGGAAGGGGCAUAUACCAACUAUUACUACCCACUGGUAAAGUUAUAUGGAACUAGCUCCGGAUGUUGAUCUACUCCACUUUUAAGAGUCAUACAUAGCUAUCUGAGAACUUUUUGCCGUAUUUUUUUUAAAACAAUUUUUCUUAAAUCAUUUUCUUAACUUAUAUUGUCUUAAAUCAUACAUAAAUAAAUUGCUAAAUGGCUAUAAAGAGUUCAUAGUCCAUAAUUAAACCUUCAAUAGUUGAACAAUCAUGACAUUAUUCUUUUCAUAAUAAAAAUAUAAAUUUCAUAAAUAUACAUUUUGUAUUUUAUAGCAAGUCAUUAAUAUUGAAACAUUCAUGGAACCAUUAUUUCGUAGUAAAUCAUGAGUUUUGCAAUAUCAUAUGCUCGAUCCUUGAUUUUAAGAAAACAUGAUGUAAUCAAUAUUUAAUAUUAUUUUUGCAUUUAAAUCACAAGAAUGGAAAAUAUAUAGAAAUUUGAAAACUAGUAAGGAGUGUUAGAAUUAUUUACAAGUUCGAAAAUUAGUAAGGAGUAUAAGAUUUACUUACCUCUUCUAUUUUAGACAUUCAAACUUCAUUAGGCAAAUCUAUUAAACUUGGUUUUGGUGGUAUUCUCUAGCAUUGAUAUUCGAUGGGCACAAUGCUAGGGAAUGAUAUGUUUGAAGGAAGAAAGAGAAAGAAAGAGAGAGGAGGAGAGGAAGAGGCGCGAUGAUCGCCAAUGGAGGACCAUAAAACGGAGGGGAUCUUAUUAUAGAGGUGAUCUAGGGUUCUAGCGGCUAACGUCUCCUAUUUCUACUAGGAGUCGCCGACUUUGAAGAGUUCUAGUGGCCCUAGAUCUUCUAGUUUUACCAGAAUUCGCCGGCUUCAAACAAGAAAGCAGACUCCUACCAGAAGUCUACUGCAGCUCAUCAUGUAAGACACAUGCACGGGUCCAGCAUUCAGGUCGGGCUAGUCAAGUGGACCGGGGCCGACCAAGCCAUCACAAGUGUUACUUCGAAAGUACGCCCUUGAAUAGGUCCAUAACAUAAAAUCCAAUUAUUGGAAGGGAUAAACAUUAGCUAAGCAGUAGGUGCGAUAGCAAAUAAGUAGGUGCAACGGUGUAACUGAGAAAAAAAAAAUGGCAAACCUGUCGCCCAGAUUAGCAUGAAGGUAGGUUUUCUUGAUAUCUUGCUUGGCAAACUGUUUGUUCAAGUGGGUAAUGUUGACCUCCUCACACAAUGAAGCCAACAGAUGAACAUGGCUUGCAAAGUUGCAAAACAGACAACACUAGAUUUUUGUGCAGUGGAAAAGGUGGAAACUUCAUGGUCAAAAGAUCUAGCGGAAUCCUCCAUGUUUUAUUACAGUUAUUCUCUUCCAUUUUCCCUUCAUAGAUUUUUUAACGGACAUGGAUGCCAUGUUUCAAGGGAGAGCUCAACGAAUUAUCGGCAUGUCCUGCCGUGCUCUCUUCGCCAUGUUCUUGCCCGUGAUAUCCGGCCAGCGCAUGUUUCUCCUCACAUGAUUUUGUCCCUCGACAAACUCCGACAAACCCCACAACAGCGGCAAGCAUAGCUUUUACAAAAUCAGAAUUGAGAAAUAUAAUUAACUCCUUCCGAAGCAUGGCUCUCUGUUCUCUCUAAUUAUAUUGAUACAUGGGAUACAAUUAACUCUCCGAGUCUUCGUCAAUUUGGUAAGAAAUCAUGUAAAUCUUUUAUGGUUAUAUCAAACUGAUUCUUCAAAUCUUCAUUAACUUUGUAAGAAUUCGUAUAAAUCAUCAAUAAGUACGUGACUGCUAUAGCAACUUCAUUUUUUUCUUGUUUAUAUUGAAGAGAUUAUUUUCAUUAUUUUUCUUCUUAGAUGACAUAUGAUUAUAAAUAUAAUGGCAUAAGUGCUCACUGAUUACCAGAGCCCAUUUUCUUAUCAUAAUACCCACAGUUCCAUAAAUUUAAAUAAUAAUAAUAAUUAUUGUCUUGUCUUUUUAAUCAACUGUCUAUAAAUCUUAUAUUUUCAGCUGUAGCAUUCCCUUGCUGUCUUCCCACUCCACAAUUCAUCACCGCCAGGUUGAGAGAAGCUGUUCAUCUUCCAUCGUUUUGGUAGGAGAUCGAAAGUAGAGUGGUCUUGGUUUUCUUAUUGUUCUUUUUUCUUCCUUUGCCAAUCUCUUGACAAAGACUGUCUCCUUAAAUUCUGUUUGCAUUUUUUUUGGGCUUUCUGGUGAGAAGGAAGCUUUAUUUGGUGUUGCAAGCUUCCAGUUAGCAUUUACGUGCAAAACAAGCCAAUGUUUUAUUGUUGAAAAUUUUAAUUUGGUUGGUGGGUUUUGCUCAUAUGGAUCCAGAAAGGUACAUAUGGAGUUUAUUGUGGCUGUUUUGUUUGCGUUAUGAUAUCCUGUACAUUCUGUCUUCGAGUUUUUUGUAUUCAUUGCAGCUCUUUUUUGUGGGUUGCCAGAGAAGGAUGAAGAGAGCUCCUGUUUUCCCUAAGAAUGAGAUCGCUGAUUGCAAUGAGCUUGGUUAUGAUGCUCAGUUGGAUUUCUCAAAGGUACUUCUUUUGACUCUAAACAUUAGCUUGUUUUCCGCUCGUUGUUCUUUGGACAGCUGAAUGCAAGUGCUAGAGUAAGGGGCUUUUAUACUGUGCGUGUUUUCACUUCAGAUGUUGAAGUCCAUUUUUAAUAACUCAAUCAGAAUUCAAUUGAGCAUUCACUUGAAAUCCUAAUAGCAGCACCCAGUUAAUCGGAUUUCGUCGCAUUUGGAUUGGUGGAGACAGGGUGGUAUACUGCGGUUUGAGCUUAAUUGUUGUAUGGACUUUGUUCUGUAGAUUUUGCAAAGUGCAACAUGAUGUCAGUAAAUGCCAAAUUUUCAAUUGAAGAGAAUGCUAGAGGAUUGUAGGUGCAUUCUAGCUUCUCAUUACUUAUGAUUGGGUUAUCCGAAUCUUGUGUCUGGUUUGUGUUUCAUUUUAAUCCGAAAGGUAACAGUAAAGCAAAACUUACUAUAUUCUAGAGAAAUUCUUGAACUGAUUUGGCAUGAGCACUUCUGACUAUGAUUACUCUCCUUCUUUGAUCAGAUUUUAGGAGAAGCAAGAAAGCAUGCAAAUGAUGCGAAAUUCUCAUUGUCACCAUCGAACUCAGAAGAAAAGAAGGUUGAGGUUGAAGCUACAAAGAACAAAAAGUCAUGGAAAAGAUCAUUGUUCUUCUGGUUUAAGCUUGGCAAGAAGAGCUCAAAGCAGAGUGGAACAUUCAAAACCAAUUCCUCAAAUUGCUAUCAUGUUCCAAAUCAUAAACAUGGUCCAGUUUCAGGUCCAUUAUUUGGAAAUGGAGGUAACCUGGCUCUCAUCCAGCGUAGCAUUCGACGAUCGACAUCAGGGCCCCUUGCUCAUUGCUUCACUCCUACAAAAGCUGAAGAGAAUGAAGUACCUUACCUGCGUCUAGCCCAACAAAGUCAUCCUUCUGCUGUUCAGGCUUUUGGACCAAUUUACCUGGUCACAUGAGUGAUGAGAACUUUUUUCCAUGAACAUCCGAAUAUUGGAUCGCCAUUCUUCAGUAAUAAAAUAUAGGGUCAUUUAUUCCCUUUUGGAUAUAGAUUAGAGAGUUGUACAUGGUGUCUUAUUCUUUUUGACAGUUUCCUCAGCAGUUUCAGAUCCAUCUCUUUCAAAAUGGAUUCUGGGACGCAAUCGAUUCGCAUCAACGCUAUAAUCUUGAAAAUAAUGAGUUAUUUUGAACCAUCUAGCUACUUCCAACCAGACCUGCUACUAAAAAUAUAUUUCAUACAUCAGUUAAAAACAACCACAGAUUUGGUAUUCAUAAUCAAGAACAUUCCAACUUGAGACUCAGCAACAAAGUUUCCAAUGGAGUAUGAGGCUUUAGAUAUGCCCUUCAAACUUACUCCUACAUGAAUGUGAUCAUGACAAGGUGCAUCUCCUUUAACUGUGUUAAUUUAUAUCCAUGGGCCUUCCCUCCUUUGUCUGUCAAAAAAGUAGGAAAAAACAAGAAGAAGAUAACAGACAACCGAUGUUAUUAUUAUUAUUAUUUGAAAAAAAAGUUAGGAAAUUCACACUUUUUAUUUGUUUGAUUGUAAAAAUAUGGUGGGCAGACCACAUGUAACAAAUCAAAAUUUCAUCUAAAAAUACUAGCCGGAAGGUAUUAUUUGGAUUUCUUAAUUAUAUAUAAGUAUCCAAGAUCUACCCAAAGAAUAAUAGAUGUUACAUACGUCCGCAUCAAACUAAGGAUUCAAAUCCAAUCACAAUCACCAUGAUAAGCUCAUAGUUAGUUCAAAUAGAUCCGUACUAUAGUGUUUCAUAGUUCAUAUAAGUUAUGGAUUAGAUCCGUUAUAAUACUAUUUAUCAUAAUUUUGGAUGUCAUCCAAAAAAAUUAAUCAUAAAGUAUUAUUUAAAUUUUUUAAUUCUGUAUAUAUAUCUAAAAUCUAUCUAAUAAAUAAUUGAUAUUAAUCUAGUCAGACAUUCUGUACGGAAUAUUACACUACCACCAAGGUUGGAACACUAAACCUUCUGGUGGAGAACGGUGCCAACCAGCUGAGGACUGGUUGGUGGAACAGAGCAAAUAUUAUACAAUUCCCCAAACUUCAUAGCUCAUAAUCAUUGCUCAAAUGCCUAUGGUCUUGAGAUCCACCAACCCCUCCACUCAGCUCUUUCUUUUUUUUUCUUCAUCUCCAACUUCCCCUACCGUACCGAACACUGACAACUAUUUUUUAGUCAGAGAGCUUAUGUACGUGCUAUCCUUAAAUAAUAGAACAGGAGAACCAAACACUUCAAUUGAUUUGGGCUUACCAGAUAUUUAUAUAAAUCACAUUCUGAUAGGUAGCAUCCGUUGAACCACAACAAUUUUUUUUUUUUGGGUACAGCCACGCUUCGCACUUUACACUGCCAUAAAUACAGUCAACAAAAUUUUUAAAAAAAUACUGAUAAAAAUAUUUACUUAAUUUUUUAAAAAAUUAUAAUAAUAUGCAGUAAAGAAGCUAUUCAGACAGCCAUAUUUUUUAUUUUUCGGUAAACAUGGGUAGCCCAAACGAAAUCACAUUUUUUUUCUAAAGAAUCUCAAACUGCAUUAAUACAUAUUAGUGAAGAGAACAAAAGCUCAACAAUUUUCCUCCCAUAAGCUCACCAAGAAGUAACCUCGUAGUCAACGUCGACACGAAGUCUCUUGGUACUUUAAAAGAUAACAAAUGGAAAAUAAUAUUUUCUUGAGCGCAGUGCAAACCGUACACAGGUAGAGGCAACAACCAUACUUUAAAGUGUCCUUUUUUUUCUCUCGCUUUGGAACCAUAUUUUAAAGUGUCUUCGGUAGCAAGUGGGUGCUCGUUGCUGGAUCGGGCCUGUCCCAAGGAUACGAAAUUAUCAUACUUAUCUCCACCUCUGCCCAGGUCUGAUUGAGACUUUUGUUUUCUACUAAUCAUUUCAAGCUAUCGAGUAAUGUAAAUUCAGCAGCACUUCUUCCAACAGAACUGCAGUUUAUUUAAAACUGGUUUAGUUCAUUAAAAAACAACAAAAUAAAUAAAAAAAUAUUCUUCAUAUGACAAUAAAAUUUUUAUAUUUAAAAAAAUCAUAUAAAAUAUAAAAAAUCUAAUUAUCUGUAUUUUUUAAAAAAAUAUUUUUAAAUUUUUAGAUAGGGUCGGACAAGAAAUUUUUUUAUUAAAAGCAUAACACUUAUUUUAUACAAAACUACAUACUCAAUUAAAUAUAAAUUAUUUUGAAAUAUGUUAUCUUUUUAGGCAAUAAAAUAUACAAAAACUAUUUUUUUAGAUAUAAUAUAUUUAUUAACUUUUCAAAAAAAUUAUUUUUUUAGUACCUGCUGAUGCUAAUUAAUACACAGUGCUUCUCAAUCAUCUAAUGCGCCAAAAGGAAGUUGGUAGUUUUUUUUUUUUUUUUGUUGACAAAAAGGUGGCCAACCCACUUCUCACCUAACUUACUGAAAACGCAACGACAUAGGACUCCAAAGCACGCUUACACCACGAGCUUCAGAAAUGGUCACUGUACCAGUCCUCUCAGAGGAGAAAAAAUUUCGUAGGUUCCUCAUCAAAACACAGGGAAGCCAAUCUUGGGGUCAUUUAAGAGGGGAAAGAGAACCGCCGACAUUGAAGCGGGUUUUGCUUGGGACUUCUGACACUAAGAACUGAAAGCAACGGUUACCCAACUGAUACGUUACAGGCAAAGAAAACAGAGAUAAAUACAACCUUUGGAAGCUGCAACAAACCCAAAAUUCCAUAACAUGGGCAAGCAGCCCCAGAAAUCCCGCAAGGAUUUUUUUUGUUGGGGAGAACAAAAAAAUCCUGCAAGGAUUUGAAGGAAGGUGAAAAUUUUUGAACAAGGAAUAAAAGUAAUACUAUCUAGCUUGUUUAGGACAGUAUUUGGUAUUUUUCUUUUGGUCUCGAAAAAAUUUUGGUGCAUGCUGUCGAAAUCACCACUUGUCCUAGAAACUGAUAGGAUGAGAUAAAUUUAUUUUUAUAUUUUCUUACCGUUCUCUUAUCAUGUUGAAAUUGUCACUUGUCCUAAAACUUAAGGUGAUAAAAUGAGAUAAAUUUAUUUAUUUUUUUAUAUUUUUUAUAUAUUUUUACACAUGCGGCCACCGGACAUCUAAGAGACGAAAUGGACGUCUACCCUUUGAAUAAUGGGGGACCAGUUAGAAAAUAAAACUCGUGUCUUAUUGGCUUGCAUUCUCCACCACACGCAUCACGACACUGUUUCUAACCCCAUUCACCGUUUGAGAUACUAACUUCAUUCACCAUUUGUCAGCAGUUGAAGUGUCCAAGUCGUCGUCUGCACAUUAACUCCAAAAAAAGCCCGGAUCCAAUGUACGUUUUGGUUCUUCACGGACAAGACCCAAGACUGGAUCAGAUGCCCGAGGAGGGAAAAGAUCAUCACUAUAGAUUCAUUAAAAAUCUUAUCCUUUUAAUUAGAGAGGAUAGGACUUCCAGCUCAGAGCUACACAAGUGGUCCAACCUGUCUCAGUCUUCAUAUUAGUUUAUUGGAUUUGAUUUAUUACAACAUAAAGAUCAUCAAGCUGAUGCAUUCCUACAAUCAUAUGGAUGCUGCAAGGAAAAUAGUUUUGAGAGUUUCAGGUAAUUAGACAAGUGAGCGAGUGAAAUUAUGGAGAAAAGUAUCAAGUUUGCGUAGGUGGAUGCCUUCUACAUCCUCACAACCUAUUUUCUCAGACAACAACAAAACUAGCUCAUGAUCAGCAAAUAUUUGAAUGGAAACUAUGAGCUGGGUUUAGUCUCUCGCAUUUUGCACAAAUUGUGGAUGAAUGGUGAGUGGAAUCUCAUCUAAGAAUAGUGAUGGAUCUACCCCUAGGAUAUUAUACUUAUCAUGAAAGACCUUAACAAGCUGUAGAUCCCGACAUCAAAGUAUAUGGCUAUUGGAGUGGCACUUGUAUCUCACAGAUCUUCAGGUCAGAAGAAGGCAAGAUAAGGUAGCUGUCGUCAAGACAUCCUCAUAUCUCAAGUUGAUACGCAUCCUUUAUUUAUGAUGUCUCUGGUUGGUCAGUGAGAGACUCUUGUACAAAAACAGAGGACAACUUUCAAAUCUUAAUGAUCUAAAGCUGCAAGUGUAGAAUAAUGCCGCUAUGAGGAAUUUAAACUGAAAAAUUGUAUAGUGACCCCUUAAUCAUAAGGUUAAUAUAUACUUCUCAUGAACUAAAGAUUUCCCUUACAUUUCUCAAAAUACUGUUCAUGUCAUAUGCAGUCUCCAACUCUCUGAUCCAGCAUAAUCUCAUUUCUACUCUCUCAUCCUAAAACUCUAUUCAAUUAAUGCAAAAGAUUGAUUCUCCAAUUGCUCAGUAAAGCUUGAGUUUCGAAGAGCCAAGACUUGAACUGUCAAAGCCACUAUCAUUUAAAAAGAGCUGAAAAAAACAUCCUGCAGCUUUAUCUCGCGAAAAAAAAUAUACAGAUAGUCAAGAAGAAAAUUACCUUUAAAAAUCAAAAUGCUCCAAAACAUUAUUUGCCAUUUUCUUUAUUGAUAUUUUUUUUCCUAAAAAUUGUAUCAACAGAAACAGAAAACUUUCUCCCCCGAAAUUGGGAUCAGGGGUGAUGUACAUGAAUGCUACUUGACUUUAGGCUAGUAUGCCAGGCAAUUUCCUGCCAGAUAGUUUCUUUCUGAAAUUAAUUAAAAUAUUGGAUCUGAAACAAGGUCAAUGGAAGGGUAUCGAGGCACAAAUAGUGCGCAUUUCUUUAUGAUUACUUUCUCAAAUUCAUAACUUUCAGCACCAUCACAUAUCUGAAUUGAAUUUGAAUUUCUACCAAUAAUACAUGUGUAGAGGACAUUUUGGCAGAUUAGCAAUCAAUAUAUCAUUAGCAUUGUUAUAAUCAUGAGAUGACUGCCCACACAUGUUAUAUAGUAUAUAGUAUCUGCCUAAGCUUCUAUGAAAAGAGAUGUGAGAUUGUAAGGAAGUGUAGAUGUUAAUUAGAAAAGCCGGAACUCUCAAAUUAGAAGCCGGUAUGAAAUUUCUCUGCCAUGUGCAUUUCCUUAAAAAAAAAUGAGCCAACAUUGAUAAAUGGAACAAACAGCAUAGAUUUCAGCACCUCUAAUAGCAGAGGGGAAGAUACAAACAAAUUCUGGUUAUAAAGGAGAUGUCUGUGAAUAAGACACAGAAAUCCAAGAAAAUAAACAGAUAAAUAAAACAGUUCAUUCAUAUCCGAGGUGCUAUAAGGAGAAUAUCUGUUUCUACUUUGUAGGUAAUUCUUCUUUGUUUGGAGGCCUAGAAUUACUUAGGGCUCAAAGGAGCCAAUAGCGCGGUAUAAGAGCUAAAUUGUGACCAGAACGUCACCAAAUCAUACUCAUCGAACCACAAAAAGGAGAUAGGACCUGCUUCUUAUCCAGACCAGCCCAAAUGUAGUCCGAAAUUAGAGAAGAAAAGUUUCCAGUCUCAUUCACGGAAUAGCAAAAUCCUUACGUGAUCUUUCUGGGAAGGUUAAGUGAUCUCAGAAUUCAUGAGGAGGAGAGAUAAGGAUUUGGAAACAGCAUUAAACAACAAAUCCAGUUCUAAAAAACACCACGUCUUCGAAUUCUUCUCAAGACUAAAUGCAAGUAUGGAUUUUCUGAGGAAUUUUCAGGUUCAUAGGAAAAUUAAGAAUGCGACAAGCCCAUCAUCAGUCAAGAAAGCAGUAAGUCAUCACUCAUCAGAGACCUCCCAUCUAUAUCAAAACUUAUCUUUUGUGAUUCAAGUAGGACCCCGCAGCCCAUAUGGAAAGCCGCCAUUAGUCAAGAAAGCAAAUGAUCUCGAAUAGAAAUGGCGGACGGCAUCCAAUCUCAUCAGCUAUUCCUGUCUACAUCAACACCAAGAAUCCAUGAUUAGCAUAGGUGAUCUUGGGCAUGGCAAAAUGUUCAAGAUAUUCUGAUCUCCAAGCCCUUUGGAUUUAUUUUAACUUCUAAGGCUCAAAGACCGAAGCAGAACAUCAAUUUUCAAGCAGUGCAAAAUACCACUCCCUCUUAGCUUGUCUACACAGUAUCCAAUCAUAACCACACUGUAAUAUCCUCCAUUCUUUUCUUAAGGAACCCAUCUAAGCAGUGAAUCUGAUUCUCAUAUAAAAUUCGACUGCAUGAACAAUGUUAAACUUAUUCCCCGUGCACUGUCUUUUUGUCUCCCUAUGACAGAGAUAGAGACUUCAAUGCCCUGUUUUGCAGGGACAUAUUGCAAAGUUCAUCUCAAACACGAAGUAGCCAAUGCUGAGAGAAUAGUAAAACAAAUCACACUGCCUCGGGGUAUCUACAAGCACCGUAACCAAGCAAAACAAGUCACUUCCAUGAUACAUCCUUCCAGAUUGAACAAUUCCAAUAGCAAGAAAAAUCAAGACUGUCAUUCUAAUUGCAUCAAUCAACAAUGAUGUAGUGAGUAUUCAAUUCGGAAAAACAGAUACUAAGAACAGUAAUAUGGAUAGCAAAUAUCCUGGCAAACAGAGAAUUCAAUUUAACACUUUGCAAUGAUGGAAUUAAAUGAAUCAAUUCAUAUAUCCAAAAUGCAUUUAAAGAAAAUUCUUUUAGACCCAGCAUUCGUUAUACUCGAGAGCGAAUGACUCUCUAUGGACCAUGAGCUGGAUUUUGAAUUGGAUCUAUGAAAGCUGAUUCCUUUCUGUACAAAUUUUUUGGCAAACCAGCUGCUAACCAUUUACAAGCGACCAUUGCAUCUCAAACACCUGAAAUUCCUAACUUUCCAAGCUUGCUAUCAGUAUUUUGUGCUCCAGAUUUCCUUCCACUCUCCAAUAAUUCUCGAUUGCCGAAAGCAAUUCGUGAAACCAAUUCACGAACUUGUAGAUGUUUUUGGCAUCAGAAGACCCCCAUCUACUGUAACUCCAACUCCUGCUACUCCCUGCUCAAUAUCACCACCUCGGAGGCUGCAAGAAGAACCAAUCCCUCGAUUCCCCUGGCUUAGCAGCCUCCUCAGUGAUCUCAACCUCGCCGAUGUCGGAGACUUGAUGUCAUCCACGGAUAGCCUACUCAACGGCAGUGGCGAAACCGGAGAUUGGUAUCCCUCCAUCGCUCGUCGCGGGACAUCAAUCACCAGCUUCCCCUCAGGCCUUCCUGAUGAAGAGCCCACAGAACUCGAACUCCCUUCGCACGAGCCCGCCGCCGCCGCUGCCGUCGCCGGACCUCCAGUUCUGACCCGAUCCUGGGAUCCCCAGAACAGCACAUUUGUUGGGAAAAUCGGCGACUCCGGCAGUCGCCCGGCCGCCAGCACCGCCUCCACCGGAGAAGCCUCCGCCGUUUCGACGCCAGAAUCCGCAUUCUCCAACGACACCGGGCUGCGGCAGAGCGGGCAGGUGGAGUGGAAGUUUAGCCACAUGUCGAUGCACUCCAAAUGGAAGCCAUGCCUGCAACCGGGCAGCAACCGGGCCUCCUCCCCCUCCGACAGCUCCGAUAGGCAGACGGCGCACUCGAGGCCCUCCUUGAAUUCCUCCGGUCGAAAACCCAAGGAAGGAAGGGCUUUAAUUGCGGCGGGAUCGAGGCCGCGACAGGGGACGCCGUCUUCGUCGGCGACAGCGAGUGGGGCGCGGGGGCGACCGAGGGUGGGGUUGGCGCCCCAGUAGCGCUUGGCGUGGAGGUAGAGGAACAAGGCGAAGAGGAAGGCCAUGAAGAUGACUAUCACCGCAGCCACCAUGAUCGCGGUGGUCAGCACGGCCAUGCUCUUCAUUGGCUGCUCCGGCGGCGACAUCGUCUUAGAAUAAUAUUCAUGCAAUAUCGAAUAUAAGACAAAUAUAAAUUUAUUGAUGUACGUUUGCUUCUUGAUUUAAGGAAUUUUGAAAGAGAUCGUGCAUAUAACUCUGUCUAGAAUCCAAGAGAAUGUUUAGAAAUCUAUAUGGAUUUGCCUUAUGGAGUUAAUGGUUGAGGAAGAGGAAGAGGAAGAGGAAGAAGGGUGUGGAGGAGGAGGGUUUUGUGGGGUUUUAUAGAGGGAGCAGAGUAGUUAAGUGGGGACAAAGGGGGAAGGGGAGAUGGAAUUGGGAUUGGAGGGAGGGGGAGGGAAGGAAGAGGAAGGUGAGCCAACUUGAGAAUUGAGAUGGAGGGUGCCGGUACGGGCGGAAAUGUUUGAAAGUUCCAAGAGUCAAAAGGCUGCUGCGGCUGAGAAGAUGCGGCUUCCCCUGCGGCCUUGCUUUCAAACUGGAUGAGGUUAAGACUGGCUUGCCAGCUCGACGCCGACGGCCGCGCUUCGGAGAGUCUGGAGACAGCUUCGUUGCUUGAAAUCGUCUGGGAGUCUGGGCGGCUGUGGGUUGAUUAGGACUUCCGGCUUGGGUCUGGCCCAGCUGAGAGUCCACAGGUGUGGCCCAACCACAUCAUCUCCGGUCCGGACGAGUCUAGGUAUGUGAGGGCAAUGGUGACGAGGCCGGCGGCGGCGGCCGAGCGAUGGCGGUAAUGAUGGGGGCUGCAGUGGAAAUAAAGGAGAAGACCAAGGAAAAAAAUGUUGUAUUUCGAUACAAUUUUGUUUUCUGAACUUUCCAAAUUUUGGAAAUAACAAUUAUAAGUCUCUGUUUGUAGAUUGAUGCAGAUAUAUAUGUAAAUCAAUCCAAAUCCAGAGCUGUAAUUCAUAAAACAGAAUCUGACCUGAAUGCAAAUUAGUGCACAUGGAUUUGGGCCAAGUUGAGAACUAAACCAAACCAAUCUUAUUGAGCUGGCGUGGAUCUUAUGGGCUCUUUGAAGAGUGUAUAUGGAUUUGGGCCAACUUGGGAACUAACCAAACCAAUCUUAUUGGGCCGGCGUGGAUUGGGUUUUAGAUAAGAUUGGGUCUGUUAGAUCGGGUCAAGUCAAGGUUAAGGGCCAGGUAACUCGGAGUCGAUUUGAUUUGAUCCAUAUAGGCACAUACACGCAAGCUGUUGUUAGAUUGGUGCUAGGUGAAGGGGCCCGGCCCAGCCUAAGCAAAUUUCAGUGCUUAAUAACAGCUCUACGAGUCUAGAUGUUCUUUUACGAAAUUAUCUGUCAACAAAACCUACAAUUUUAUCGUAAAAAACUAGAGUUAAAAAAAAAAAAAGGACCCGAGCCCGGCAUUCAUCCCCAAGUUCGAGCUUGAUCCGUUUAAUAAACUGGCUUAUUUUUCCGGCCCAGCCUAGCCGGUCGGUUAUAAAAUCUUGAUCCAAGCUUGCCCCAAAAACUUUAAGCUUGAGCCAGCCUAGUGGGCUGCUCGGCUCAUGAAGAGGUCUACUUUUUGUGUGCGCGCACAUGUAAAUGAGAUAGAGUAUAAGAAAGGAAAAUUAGAGAAUUUUGUUGAUUCAGAACCGACCCAACUUGCAAAAAAACCGACCCAGCCCAUGAAUUGGCCUACCCUAUUUGUGUGUAAGGGAACCAAAGUAUGAGGAAAAAGAAUGGAACACCAUCAAUUGCGUUGGGUCUAGAAGCUAGUUGGUUCCAAUCAAGGCAUGUCAAGCAAACCAUUGAAUUGGAGGGCAAACCCAAAACUCAUGUAUAAUUGAAUUGAUUUUGGGUUGAUUCAGACCUGACCCAACUUGCAAGAAAACUCACCCAACUUCAUUUAUUAUUAUUACUAUUUUGAUACACAAUUUCAUUUAUUUGAGAUGCAUUUGUGCAACUGAAGGGCUAUCCUGGGUAAAAAUUUUGUUACUAGCACCAAUACAGCAUUACUCUCCCCUUCGCUCGGUGCGCUGAGUACAUACGAGUGGACUCCUGUUCUCAUCUCUGCUCGCGGCGUUAGUUCUCGGUCCGGCUCCAUAAAUUCCAUUCGCCUUUUUUUUCUUUUCUUUUUUAUUUUUUUUUUGGGAAAAACCAGAAGCAUCACGAGUACAAAUACAGCCAAAAAAUUAAAAAAACAGUAGAUCUCGAAAAGUACUAGGCACCACCACCACAUCCAUCCAUAGAUAUAUUUCUGAAUGAUCGAAACAAAAGACGCCACCCAAUCGACAGCUUCAUUGGCCUCACAAAAAAAUGUACUUCAUCUGAAUAACCAGCUCAGCACCGACUAUAGCCUAGAUAUCUCUNNNNNNNNNNNNNNNNNNNNNNNNNNNNNNNNNNNNNNNNNNNNNNNNNNNNNNNNNNNNNNNNNNNNNNNNNNNNNNNNNNNNNNNNNNNNNNNCGGUCAGACUUUUAACCAAAGCGGCCGCAUCAUUUUACCCUCGGAUCAAAAGUUCCUUCGACCCUGUUGCCUUCUUCCCUUUUAUUCUAUUCUGCCGCCAUUUUCUUUCUUUCCCUUCUAUUAUUCCUCAAUCUAUCCAUCGAACCUCUUCCUAUCCCUCCUCACCGAAGAUUAGAUAUCCUAGAUACAGAUAGAUAGUAGAAGUGAGAGAUAGGAGAGAGAGGUGGGACAAAGUAUGCAGCAGCCUACGCAUCCGAUGGCUUCCAUGCCUCCAAUGGCCACCCAGAACAUCACCACCGAACAGAUUCAGAAGGUAACUCCAUUUAUCCCUGCCUCCCAUUUCCAUUUGCCUUCCGCUUUCCUGCACUUCUAUCUUCUUGACUUAUUUCGAAUCCCUUUUUUCGGCGUACGUGCCAGCUUCCGCUAGGGAUUACCGUUUGAUGCGCUCUCUUUGAUUUUGUUUUCCAUUUUUAUGAUCUCAACCAUAUAUUUUUUUCAAAAAUGAGGAUAAAACUAACUAGGGUUCAUGUUUUUAUAUGUAUACCGCGUCGAGUGAUGUCAGUUUUGUUGGGAUUAUAUGCUCGAUUGAGUCAUGGUUGACCAGAGAGGAGGAGGAGGAUGGAGGAUGGUUAUUUAAUCUGUAGAAAAAUGAAUGCUGUACGUACUGGUAACCUACUAGAAAAGGCCAUGAUUCAGGUUUUUCUAUGAAUUGAUGUGGUGAGAUAGGGUUUUAGGCCCUGAAGCCACCUACGAAGUGCACAAGAAAAUCCGGCUUGCAGCCUUUUCAGCCGCAAUCGGGUUACAUGCAGCUGCACUCUAAAAGGAAAAUGUCCAUGUGUAGCUAAUAUUUAUUUGCAAGCGUCAUGCAGUCUGUUCAACUUUGGCAGAAAAAAUAAGCAUUUAAACUGAGAUUAAAAGACCAUAUUCCUCCAUCUGACAAGGAAUCCUGUCGCUGACUCCAUAUUAUGAGCUUUGGUUUUCCGAAUCAUAGAAUAAUUCAUUACCACCAAUCAUGGAUCACUUUCUAAAGCCUUCUUUAAAAUUUAAUCCAGCAUAUGGGAUGAUGGAUUGGUUUCCAUGUUCGUACCGUUAUAUGUUACUUUCCAAAUUCUUGCUGAAAUUUCGAACCCGCUAUGAUUGACUAGUUACCCAUUAUAUUGAAUCAAACCUUUGACACAUCUUAUUACAUUAGCAUAAAGAAAUUUCAAUUUGUCAAUUGUAACUUGAGUUGAUGGCAUGUGACUUUAACUUUCUUGCGAACUAUCCCAUAUCUUGAGAUUACUGACAUUUAAAGGGUCUUUGGGGACGAAAUUGAGCAUCCAGAGUUGAGGUGCUGGUGCGGGCGGUGCUUGCUUUCUUAGAAUGUAGGGGCGGCGCCCCAGUUUCUGUUUUCUUUCUUUGUUUUCGGGGUCCUCCCUGCUAAUCACCAAAAUAGUUAUUCGCUCUAUCAAUAUUGAUUAAUACCAUCUUAAACUUAACUGAUGCCUUAAAAGAUUCAAUUGAAGUAAGGUGAUCUUUUUAUAAAUUUGGACAUGGGAUAUUAGUCCAAGUUUUAUGUUAAGCUUAACCUACAAUACCCUUCAACAGCAACGAUGAACCGAGUAUGGUUCUCCUUCUCUAACCAAAUAAUUGUUUGUAUAGGAACUAACAUUCCUGAAUAUGAGAAUUUGUAUGAAGCUCAAGUGCAGUCCCUGUCUAGGGCAGGGCAGAUCUAGUAUGAUACCAUUUGAAUUUAGCACUAGAGAUAAAUGCAUCUUCCAAAAUUGUUCUUCAUAGUACAUCAAAGAAAUGCCAUUAAAAUCCCUGGCUGUUUAAAACUUCAAUUUCCCUUGCAGUCACCCAAAAAGCAGAUGCGACCGUAGGAUAUGGAUGCAAGGUUUGAGAUAAAAGGACUCUGGGUUUUGCUUUCUAAAUCAGUUUUGGGGUCAGCUCAAGGCAAAGAUACAUCGACAGACCAGAAAAGGGGGAAGAAGAUCAGGUUUUGGAAAAUCUAGGUUAUAUGUGAAAAUUAAUGGUGAUACAUUAUAGCUUGUUUUUCACAAAUUUAUCUGGAGAGGAGCCUAAGUGGAUGAUGUUCAACAUCAACCAUCUCCCACCAUGGCAUAACCUGUGUAUUAUAAUGGAGCUGAACAACACUUUACAAGUUUUAGAGCCUAACAGUGCUGGUUAAAUGUGAUUAAGGUUCCUAAUGUGUGGGAAAAUAGGGUAUAAGAGUGGGAAAGGUUUCUUGGAAGCAUCACAAAGGGAGAAGAAAAUGAAAUGCCAAAAAGGUCGUUCUGUGGACAAAACUUUGCCCAUUCUUCUGUAAUAUCAGAACAGCUGCAGAGUGAGUGAGGCCUGAUUGUUUGACAAUCUAAGUUGAUCAACUAAUUUCUUUUUAUGUCACCACUGCAUUAACUCAUGGAAAACCAUAAUGUCUAAAAGAAACAAGUCAAAAGUAACAAAGAUGCGAUCCAUAUUAAAUAAAAUUUAGCAUUUUGGAACCUUUAUCUAGUUACAUCAAUUGCUUUCACAUUGCAAACCUUGAGCUUAUUUUGGACUUGGGUUGUAGCCAACUAACCCUAGACUUUAUAUAUAGAGACAUGCCCAUGCACGUGUCGGCACACGCAUGGUGCUCAAAAUAUAUUUUUUAUCUUUUUAUGUUUUGAUUAUUGUGGACCAACUCCUUUUCCUUGAUCAAAAGAUACAGUGGCGUUGCUUUUACACCAUUUGCCCACUUAUUGUGCAUGUACCUUUAUUAAGCCAAAAGUAUGUCCUCCAUCAGUUGACUACUUAGAAUGAUUAAAGGUUAAACUCAUUUCCAUUUAGAGUGGAACUUUUGGAUUGCUAUUAUGACAUACAGCCAUUCCCAUGAAGGGAAGGGUCUUUGUUUCAUGUGGUGAUAAAAAUGUUUUAGAGUUAUGGUUUAAGUGACCUUUUGGUCUGUUGCAUGUAUUAAAAUUGCUCGCCCAUUUAUGUAGGACUCAUUGUAAGUUGAAAACUGCUCUGAUCUUCAUUGCACAUCAAGUUAACUUGUCCUCAAGAAUAAAUCAUUCUUGAAGUAAGAGAUAGAUGUAUCUAUAGUGGUAACCUUUACAGAAAAGGAUGGCUAUGCUUUCAUGCUAAUUGCAUUUGAUAAAAUAUCAUGACCUAGUAAUGGAGACUGUUCUUAAGGUAGCCUUCUAUGAAUCUUGGUCAAGAGAAUGGGUGUAAAGUAGUUAAAUUUAUAGGAAAUGCUAUCUAUCCAAGUGCACACAAACUCUUGAGCAGGCUCCUAGAUUGUCAGACCUCAUUUUUAUCUCUUUAUAAAAUUAUCUUUUUAAAAGUUCUCAUAUUUAAGUUUAGAUAGCAUUUUGUUAGAUCCUCCUCCAUGACUUAUCGUCAUUGGCAUAUAAGCAUGUGCAAUGCAUGCUAAAUAUGACAAAGGAGAAAAAUUGUUGAACAAAAAGGAAAGGAAUUAUCAUUAGGAUCUGAUCCUCUAUAUUUUGAUAUUUCUUUUACUUUCUGAAAUAUCUUUUGGAAAUUGUGUUAAUAACUGUGAAGUUUCUCAAUCAAUACAUGAAUAUCUUCACAUACUUUCUGAAAAGAAGUGUCCUGAUGAUGCUAAAAUAAUUAAUGUAGAGAAUGAAGUCAGACAUUAUAAACAGAGGGAAGGAGAGAUUUUUUGUUUCUUCAAAGUAGAUUACUUGGGGGAGUGAUAGAGAUAUAAGAGCAGCCAGAGUCUGAGGGAUGACACUAUUUAUGUUUUAUACAGAAAUAGACAUACUCAAACUUGUCAUGAAUUUAGAUUUUCAUUUCUCAUGACUUUUUUUUCACCAUGGGCAAAGUCAACAUGCCCAAACACCAGAAGUUCUCUUUUAUUAUUGUAAUAUAGAUAAGGAAUGUUCAAAUGUAGUAAUGGAUUGAAUUUCUUGAGGCAUGGUUUGCUGUACUUUGGGAUGUUAAUGACCCAUGUCAGUGUGGGGAUCAGAUCUGGGAUAAAAGAAAGUGGGAAGAAGAAUGAUUUAGAUUGAAGGGGAAUAUAAUAUUCUAAAACUUUUGAGAAAUACCAAGGGCUAAGUUUUAAUGUGGAAGGUUAUUGAGAUAUAUUUUGCUGGUUGGUUGUCUCCAAUACGUGAUAUAACAUAUCAAACUGCACAAUUGGACUAUAGCUGAAGAAAAUAAUUUAGAAGUAUCAUCGAUCAUAGAUUUGUGAGAAAAAGGGCUUGGAAGAGGGGAGGUUUAUUAGAACUGUUGUGGAAAUAGAAAGAGAAAUGUGGAAUGGAUUUAUUUUCAUUUUGGAUAUCUAAAAUUUAACAUCAAAAAUAAAAGGAAAGAAAGUAGAUAUUGGAUUGUUUAUCUCCAAAUUUAUAUACAAUCACCUACAAUUUAUUAAUAAUCUUAGAAGUUCACAGUUUCCUAAAAGAGAAGGUGCUAUCUAUUAAAAAAGAAAAGAAAGUAGACAAAGUACACAAAGAGAAAAGGUGCUAUCUGUAAAUGUUUAUACAAUCAUCACAAAGUAUACUUAGAAAGUAUACUUUAUUAAUAAUCUUAGAAAUUUCACAAUCCCCAACGUCCAUCGCAAGAGGAUUUGGUCACCUCUUCAUUUGUGCUAUUGUUGUUUCAAGGAAUAAGGGCUGGAAUAAAAUGUGAACUCCAGCUUUCACCCCAUUCAUAUUUUUUGGUUUGUGCAACAACUAAAAUCAUGAUUCUUUCUGAAUCACCAUUCACUCAAAUAAAGGACGUGAUUCCACUCUUAAUGGGAGCAAUGGUCAUUCCUAUAGGAAUGAAAAUGAAUGAUAAUUUUAGCACGAACUAUUUACUCGCAUUUGUUGUACAAAGGAAAAUAAAUAUUCGGUAUGAAUCAGUUAGUGGCAUUUUGGUUAUGAAAUGGAAAUGAAAAUUUUAUUAACAUUUGACAUUAAAAAAAUUACUUUAUUAAUAUGAAUUUUGAAUAAUGUAAAGUGACAUCCAUUAUAACAUUAUAAUGAUUGUUAUUUCGAUGUCCAUUAUAGUAAUGGAAGCCUUCAAAGUUCAAAUCAAUAGUGCAAGUUAGGUCUGCUGCUGCAGUGGAAAUAGAGUGUUUCCACUGCACCCUAAUCUUUUCCAAUGCCCUUCUUGAGAUUCGUGCAUCACUGCACAUGCUUUAGGCCCCACAUAUUGAUCUCAAGGAGGGCUGUGAACAAGAUUGGGGUGUGGUGGAAACACUCUAUUUCCACUAUGCAAUGGACCUAAACCACACUGGCAAACAAUUAGGGUGUUUAUUAUUAAAAGUUUGAUGCUAUUCCUUGGUCAAGGAUUUAUUGAAAAAUAAUAUAAACUUAAAUUUAAUUAAAAUUUAAUUAGCUAGAUCAAAUAUUAGAAUUGAAUUGCCGUAUCUUUUCCAUGCAAUCCUUCACUUUUAGAAAUACUUUAGAAAGAGGAUGCGAAUGCGAGCGUGUGGAAGAGGAUACUUUAGAAAUACUUUUAGCAUGGAAAUGCUUAGGAAGCGGUUGUGGGUUUGAGAUUUUAGGAAGAUUCCAAAGUAGGUGUGUCACCCUAGGUAGAAGACUCUAGCUACUAGGAUCCUUCAUUUUGUGCCCAAACAAUGGAAUAAGAACAACCAUGCCAAUUCCUUUGGUUCCAUUCUCAUUCUAUUCUGAUUCCAUGUUGAUUCUGUUUCAUUCUCAUGAACCAAACAUGGUGUUAGAAUGCAAUAGCAAUCUUAGAUAUUAAGAAAAUCAUGACCUCUUGUAUAAGAAAUCAAAUUGGGCAUACUACUAUUACUACCUACAACGAUCCCGGUGGGACAACGGAACGUCCUACCACCCCAAGUGUCAGGAUGGAGCACCAUUUCAAAUGUUUGAAGGAGACGGGAUGGGACAUCCACCAUCCCGACAGUGCAUCCUUUAGCAUGGAAGAGCUGGGACAGCCCCAUCCCAUGGGAUAUUGACCACAUAAAAAGCUAACCUACUUUUGGAUGGCUACCAUCAGCAAAGUUUUCUCUUCCUAUUUGGCUUUUUUCUAUUUGCUCCUUCAUAUUCUUUCUUUUUUUCCUUUUGCAUUCAUCUCCUCUAAAUACUAAAAUAGUUAUUCAGUUCUAGUUGCUGUGACAUGCCUUUAUCAUAUUUGUAAAGAAAAAUCUUAUAUAUGUUUUUUUUUUUGAUCCAAUUAGAAAGGCCUUUAAGAUGUGCUAUUUCAUUAUGCAAUUAAGCAUUUGCUUUAGUUAGAUGGGGAAGAACCAGAUAUCAUAUGAACCAAAAAUGGAGAUGAAAUAGCAUUGAUGAUAUCAGGACCGUUAGAAGCAUUUGGUCAAAUUAUGUUAGUCCUUGAUGUGUGUUUUCUUGAAUUUUUAUGAAAGUGGGUAAGAGAAGUUAGGUAUGAUGGAGGGUAUGACCUCAAAUAAGAAGACUGGUGAAAUAAGAUUCAUAAUUGACUCAAACAGUGGGUUGACACUUGUUGGUUUUGGAUAUGUUUAAUAAAUAUAAGCUCUUUGAUCUGUGUAACAAUGAUGUAUCCUCUGGAUUUGAUUUCUUAUCAUAUUCCAGCAUCCUUCCUUGCAUCAAUAAAUCAUGUUUUCACUUAUGACCUUGGUUUUUACCCUGUAUUUUUAUUGGCAGGCAAUCAGAUCUUUCAUGCACUUAGAUACUUCAUCCUGUUGAUGUUGAUUUAAGGGGGAAAGGAAAAAAAAUUCACCUAAUCCACUAAUGUUUCUUAUUUUGUUGCAGUACUUGGAUGAAAACAAGCAGCUGAUCUUGGCAAUCUUGGAUAAUCAAAAUCUGGGGAAGCUUACAGAAUGUGCUCAGUAAGUGAUCAUUUAACAAAGUUUUACACUUGGGAAUGUUUUUGGACUUCUACCACCCUUUCAUCUGCUUUGUCACACACAAAUACACAAUCUACUCGUGAAGUCUAAAUUUUCAUCGUAUCAUGACCAUAUCUCUAUAUGAUUAUUGACAUCCAAAAUUCCAUUAAACUGAAUCUUACAGAUAACUUGAUAUGUGGGUGUAAGCAUACUUGACAAUGGCGCUAGUUAGAAUGAGAUACAAACAUCAUAGAUAAAGCUGAAAACAGAUUGGGUAUCAGUAUAUCCAUAUCUGUAUUUGUUUUUAGUUGACAAAUACCUAUACAGCUAUGGAUUAAUUAGAUGCUAAAAUUCAUAUCCAUAUAUUUGCUUUAGACGGAUGUAAAUGCGGAUUGGAUACUGACAGUACAGAUAUAAAUUAGACAGUUAAACUUUAUGAACCACCAAAUCAAAAAUAUCAUUGCAUGGAAGGUGAAUGAAGUUGAAGAUAUGUUAAUAUUAUCACUUGUUUUCCUUUUAAAGUUCAUGAUAACAUUAUAAGAUUAAAUAGGAUUGCAAAGCAGAACCCAAUAUGCAGGUAGAUAUGGAUUGGAUGGUUGUCUAUCCAUAUUUGUAUGUGCUUUUCUUUGAGAGGUAUCAUCCAGUCCAUUUUCGCCCCUAAUCACAGAUAAAAAUGUUAUACAUUGUAUCGUUGUUUUGCUGAUUCUAAGGUGAAAGAUGUUGCCUUUGCUAAUGAUUGGAAGUGACGUGAUAGACUAGAAAAUUAACAUGUAAUUCAAUCAAGUUUGUAAUGCUUAUUAACAUUCCUGUUGUCAACCCUUUCUUGAAAAAAUAAUUGUUAUAAUUUUUCAUGAGUUUUAGUAUUAGGUGGCUCAUUAAAACACAUGACUUUUCUAAAUCCGAAGUUCAUUAAAAAAAAUUAACUCAAUUUGCUUUCAUAUGUAUUAUUUCUUCUUUAAGGUAAUACCUUUUUGUUCCUAUUUUAAUUGCUCAACUAUUUUCAAUUCAAUCAUAGUUUAGACUUCAUUUAGGACUCCCCAUUUUUUUGUCUGUGAUACCAAUUAUAGCUAUCUGAGAGGUUUUUUUGGGGAAAAAAUAUUAUAUGGAUCUUAAAUGAGAUGGCAAUAAUUGAACUUAUACUAUGUUUACACUGAUCAUUAAGUUGAGGUUAAAUGAGGAGACAUGAGAAUAAGCUACAAAAGAAAAAGCCAUGUAUUUGAAAUUCUUUUUUUUUAGACAAGUAUUUCUCUAUCAAAUAAACAAUGCAAUUUAUGGUUGAUUGUCUAUUUGGGAGUUAAGCCUAGGAUGUGCAGUCAAUUUUCCUAUGGGAAACAAGUGGUGCUAAAGCCAAUUCAUAAUCUAUCAAUUGUUUAUUGAAGUCUCUGAACUGUACCUUUUCUCUAGUUUGUUUUAGUUGGAGAAAGUAGAUUUGGAACAAUAUAAUGCCACAUAAAGGUUAGACUAAAAUGUUGGAGACAACAAGUUUGGUAGUUGAUACUUGAUAGUGCUUAUAUAUAUACACACUAAAAUGGAGGCUCUACUUGUGUAGAGCUCUCCAUUCACCACGCGGACAGCUAUAUUAACAAUGUUAUUAAUAGAGUUCUUUAUAAAUAUUAUUUAUCAGGGCUCUUGUUUAAUACAGUUCUUUAUCUGAUUACACUAAGAAGAAACUGAAUAGCUUAUUAAACCAUAUUAAAUAAAGAACUUUUCAUUAGUACUACUAAGUUAAUGCUAAAAGUAAUGAUAUUAUUAAUAACCUCAUUUUGCUUAAUGUAUGUUGAUAUUAAUGAAAACACUUUUCAUUGGUACUGUACCUUGCCAAUAUCCUAUGCAUUACACUAAUAUUUUAUUAAUUUCUAUUGCACUUUUAUGAUCAUGAUCUUGCUUAAAAGUCAAAAAUACAAUCACUAACGAUCCCGCUAUAUUGUAUUUAAAUAUCCUCUAGGUGCAAUACUUUUCUAUUUCUUAUUAUAUGCAAAUUGGAUAAUGAUCUUAUUAUUUUAUAGUGAUGUAUUAGUUUACUAUAUUGAUAGAUAUACGUAUACUACUAGAAUUUUGUGCAGUGAUAGUAUAUCACAAUUAUUAAUAUCAAAAAACUUAGAAAAUAAUUAGGCUCUUCUAUCUAUUAUAUUCUAUGUUAUUUCUGUUAUCUAUUCUAUUAUAUCUAAUUUAUAUUAUGUUUCACUAACAGCUGCAAAAAGGAGAAAAAACUGCACCCCGUGCAUCAGUCGGGUUAUAUGCUAGUUUAAGCUCUAAAACAGAACUUCUGAAAACACAAGGUUAAGGCGUAUAUUAUGGUGGGUGAAUCUUAACAGAUGUGACAAUAAUUGUGUCACUAGAGAAUGGAAAGCUAUUGUUCUCGUACGGCAUGGAACAAUGGAGCAGGACAGCAUUAGACCAGCAAGACAGCUCAAGGAUUUGGCAAAUCCUGGGUUGAUUGCUGGACCAAACAAGGUCUACUAAAUCCUUUCACAAGUAACUUCUUUUGAGUUGAGUGAUCAUUAUGCUUGCUAUUUUUCACAGAAUAGUUAAUACCAAUAGUUACAAUUUGAUGUUUGGUAACAAUUAGCCAGAUUCAAGGACUCAACUUCAGGAGAAAUGGUGAAGAUUCAUGGAAGUCUGACAACAAAUCAAAUAAUUAUAAGAAAAGAAAAUUAAAGAAUAAGAUAGCUGAUAUAUUAGUUCGUGUGGAUACAAGCAUGGAAAGUAAAAAAUAUGAACUUCAACAAAGACAAUGUUAGCAGUAGUAACAUAGCAUCUUCAUUCCGUAACUUAAAUGUUUCUUAAAUUAGUUUUAAAUAACGUGAAUAAAUCUAGAAUUCAUGAACAAUCAACUAAUAUUUGAAAUUGAGAUAUAACUAAGGUUCACCAACUUGGUACUCCCCCCGUACUGAGUCUCGGUUCAGUGCUGGUGUGCGGACGUUGGAGAUAACCGAAGAAAUUUAACUAAUGUCUUGGUUUCAAUAUAUAAGAAUAUCGCUUGUCUAAGUAUUUUGUAGGAGGGGAUGGCUGAGGUAGAGGCUGCAGAGUGAGUGGAGAUGCUGGCUCCUCUGGUUGUUGAAGUAUGCUCAACAUGGCUGAGAAACUAUCCGCGAUGGGUUGUGCCACCCCCACUCAGUAGUAGUUUUUGGCAUACUGACCUAGUUCUUGUUAAUCUUAUCUUCUUUUCACUGGAUUAGUUGAUUGGACAACAAACCUGAUCCAAGUUAUUUAUGACAAGGGUAAACUCCAUGUAUUAUUGUCGCCUAAAAAAUUUCCAUGAGCAAUAAUGUUGUUUUAGGCUUUCUCAAAUCAGGAAUUUUAGGCUUUCUUGAAUCAGGAAUUCUGUUAGAAAUACUUGUCUGAUUCUUGGAAGUUCCUAAUUUUAAUAACAUCAGGUAGUAGACUCUUCAGAUAUGGAUUUCUUGAAGGGGCCAAAGUCCUAACUAGGAUAUCUUGAUAGGAAACCUCCAAUUAGUUCUGCAAAUUAAUUGGGUCAACCCAUGACACAGUCUGGUCUAGGUUGGAGUCUGUAAAAUGACCUAUUUGAAAAAUCAGGUUGGAUUUGGGUCAUAUGUUUUCGUAUCAGACUGUUCCUGUGUACUAAUGAGGUCUAAAAUGGGUCAAAUACUAGAUGACCUGAGCUGACCCUGCCUGGCCAGAUCCAACUAAACCCCAAAAUUCAUCACUUUAAAAUCCCUAAACCCUCUACUGAUCAUCCAAUUGCCCAUAAUUAGGUUUGUAGAUUGGAUGUGAAAGCUAUUUAUUUGUAUGUUGAAUGGCAUGCAUUGUUUUUUUCUUAUCUUGCAUUAGACCAAACUAGAUUAGACGUGACCUAGCCUGAAUGACCCAGAGGGUCUAGAAACUUGUUCAUUAACCCAACCGAACCAAGCCUUGUUACUUAAUGUGUUGAGGAUGGGUCUAAAAUCAUCACCCAAAAAAACAUAGUUGGGGCUGGGGUUGUUUGAGACCUGGUCAUGUUUGCCCCAGUCCUGUCUGGCCUGGUUGCAGGCCUACCUCCAACUGUGGUGCAAAACAUUUUAUUUGCAACAUGGAAACUUCAUUUUUCUUUGAAUUAAAUGAGACGUGUGCCUUAAUCUUGUAAACUACCAUCUGACUACCAUAGGUAUUGGUUCCACUUUGACUGGUCUAACAAGGUUAAGUAAAAUAUACCAACACCAUCUAGUCGGAUUCAAUCCAGACAUCGGAAAUUCUAUCGUUUAGAGCCAGAUCAAGGCCUUGUUGGACAGGAAGAAGCUUCACCAUCUAAAUAUGUUGCAUACAUCAACACUUUGAGAAGGCCCUCAUUUUUUCUCACUAAAUCAAUCCCGGCACCAGCAUGGCAUCUUCAUUUCACUGCAAAAGUUUGCUACCAUGUUGCAUCCAGUUGUCUAGGAGUCCCUGUGUGGUUCUUCUAUGUCUUGAGCACCUUAUUUUCGAAAGGGCACAUCCUUUAUAGUUCCAUCUAAUUUAGCCUUGUAUUUGUUUUAUGCAUAUAAUAUCUCUAACUACUACCUUUAUUAUGAUUAGGCUCCUGCUAAGUUUUGAUUACAUAGUGUUCCUGAGAAGACUGGGAAAAUUUACAAUGUGACAUGUCUCUGCCUCACUUUUACAGUGAUGAUUCUCGCAAGAUAUCAUGUGCAACAGUCUUCUUAUCCAGGCAUCUGAAUCAACUAGGAGUGUUGUUUUUGGUCGAUAUAGAUACCACGAAUUCAACUUAUUUAUAGAGAAUGUUCUAUCGAGAGGCUAUUGCAAGUUUAUUUUCCCUUUUCCUUCAAUCUCUUAAUGUAAUUGUGAAUAUGAUGAUCUGUGUCAUGGGUCAGGUACCAAGCCCAGCUUCAAAAGAAUCUGCUGUAUCUGGCUGCAAUUGCAGAUGCCCAACCACAGGCACCUGCAGCUCGUCCGCAGGUUAGUUACGAAUCAUGUUGGAGUAUAAUAUUGUUUUCUGGUUCACAUUUAUCCACUCAUAUAUUUUUCUGCUGGUAGACGAUGCCACAUGGUGCAAUGCCGCAGGGGGCCCAUUACAUGCAGCAGGGGCCCAUGUUUCCUCCCAGGGCUCCUUUGCAAUUCAAUCCCCAGCAAAUGCAGGAACAGCAGCAACAACAGCAGCUUCACCACCAACCACAAGUGCUGCCUUUUCCAGGCCAUAUGGGCAUGAGACCUGGGGCCAUCAAUGGCAUGCAUGCUGACCCAUCUCAUGGAGGCAGUGCUGACCUCCGGCCAGCUCCGAACUUGGCUGAGUUCCCACAUGGCAGCAGCACUCCUACUGGCUCCAUAGAUGGGCGAGGAAGCAAGCAAGAUGCAGGUGGUGCAGUGUCUGAACCCGCCACUGGUGCUGAUGACCAUAGGAACUCAGGGAGAGAGAGAAGCAGGGAUGGCGAACCAAACAUAUCUGAGAAGGCCUGAAGAUGUUAAAGAUACCAUGAGCUUGGAGCUCUGGAAUGAUAACUUUGACAAACACCGCAUAUAUAACUAAAUGACCAAUGUUAUGGCAAUCUUUUCUGCCUCUUCUGAUAAAUCGUCAUACCUCCAUGCAUGACUAGUGUUACUGGUUUUGAACCUUCAGUAGUCCAUGAUGAUCCUUUUGAGUUUCCUUCAUAUGCACUUGAAUGUUGUCAUGAUGAAUACCUGUGAUUAUAUACAUUCUCUACUUUUGUUUGCGAGUUGCUAAUUGUUCUACCAAAGUAACAGGUAUUGAAGUUGCCUUGCAAGGGGUUGUACCUCUUUUAUUUCUUGUGGGGAUGCAGGUGAGCAAAGUAGUCUAUGGCAGUUGACCCCGUGCAGACGGUCAUGGCUGUACGUUCGGAUUGCCAGGUUAAGUUGGACAGGCAUUAUCUAGUAAUUCUGAUCUUGGAUGAACACCGCUGCUAAGCUCCUGUGACUAUUUUAAGUUUUCUAGGGAAGGUAUAAGCGAGUGAAUCUUAUGGUAUUCUGUGGGAUGCGUGGGGCAAAACUUCAAAGAUGAAGUCACUGUCAGCGAUAGCUGUGAAUGCCUAAUUAACGAAGACAUAUAAACGUGGAAGGACUUGCCGACUUGGUGUAGUAUAUGGUCUGGUGGCAUUUGUGACUUGAGUGAAGAAUGAAGGCGAUCAUACUUUCUCUCCUCUGUUUGUAGUUUAGAUCAAUUUCAAUGUAAUGGAAUCAUAAUCUAAAGGGUUGAGAUUCUCUUGUAGCUUUGCUGAGGAUGAAAUUUCAUAAUUUUUUGGAGUUGUCCUUGGAUUUCCUAAUGAGUUUGCCCUAAGUGUAUAUUGAUGGAGUGUGCCCUUGUUGUGAGGUGUCGCAGAUUCGAGCUCCGGUUCCUUUUUUUUGUAAUUAUUACUGAACAUUACAAUUGUAGUGCCACCAAUCUUUUUAACAAACCAAUAAAAAUUAUCCAAGCCAAAUCAUCCAAAUCAUUGGGGGAGAACCUCCUUGGACACGUACAUAUGUUCUCUCUCCAUUGUAAGGAAAAUGUAACACUAGGCUACAACGAUCUUUGUUCGAGUCUUCAGUCCAUGUACUUUGAUUUGCUGUAACCCAAAAGUGCUUAUGUGCAGAUUCCAAUUCAAAGGUCUUGUGUUGGAGACACAAGAUUGGAAAUGGCAGCUGAGAGCAAAAAGGGCAGUGCUAGCUUCGCUCAGAAAUCUGACUAAUAUUUACUCAAACUAAUAACACUUGUGUCAAGUGUCGAUCUCACUGACUGAUAUAAAGUGGAGGAGGUCAGGUGAUGGGAAUAAGCCAACAUUGACUCGAUCGCUUCCCAUCAUAAUUUUACGAGGCAUGGUCCUUGGACUGAAGCUGCAGACCCUUCCAUCUACGACGCAGUCAGCAUUUCAGGUUAAGGAAAAUGAGAAAGGUUUUGGGGAGUUGUAGCCCUAUGGAUGGGGCAGCGUAUUUUGAUCUUUUAAAUGUUAAGACUGAUACUCGGUAAUUCUGCUCCUCUUUAACCUCUUCAUAGUACUACAGCAGGUGCAUGCCCCAUAGAACGUGGCAGUAGGAGACAUAUAUGAUAUGUUCAAUCUGUUAGGUUUCUAACAUAUAUGAAAGCAAAAAUAAGAUGGAAUGCUCCACCAACUCUCAUUUACCUACUCUCAUUUAUGUUUUAACUAAUGAUGCUUAAUGUGUAAUCAAAGAAAAAUUGAAGUUCUUUUUUGAUGCCACCAAUGUUUUUCUCGUGUUUAGAGUUUAGACCCUCCCCAAGCAAAGACCCAAAAGGGGUUGGUUUGUUGGCUUGAUAUGACACAUAAGCUGCUAAUUUGUUCUCUCUGGACUGUUCAAUCAACCGAACCUUCAAUGGAUUGGUCAAGGCUAUAUUUGAUUCUUGCCAAACCUCCAGAUCUUUGUAGUUGGUGGAACAUUUUGAUGUACCUGCGUUAGUUGUCAGCUGCCUGAAGAUGAUGUCCCCAUUUUCUCAAUUAGUUUGGCCGGAAUGUCCCAGGUUUUUUUAUCUCAAAGUCUCCCUCAUUGUGCUAAAACUUUUCUUGAAGUCAGGACUUUAGGAUUUGGUGAAAUGCCAGUAAUUCUGAUUUUGAAAUUUGGAUACCUGCUGCAUUAAUAUAUCUUAAUAUUAGAGAUUUAAGCAACACUCAAUAGUUUUAUUGUCAUUUCAUUAUAAUGAUAAUUACAAUGAGAAACGGCAUUUAUCUGAACUUUACACUGUUUAUCAAAUUAUAUACCUGCUGUCUAGGAUUUAAAAUCUCCAUGCCAGUUAAAAGUAGGUAUGCAUGUUGAAUAGUAAUAGUUUAUAAAAUCCAUAUUUGUUGAUGAAUUUUCCAUUAGGUGAUUUAUGCCAGUAGGAUUCAAAAUGACAGUUUUUGGCAUAUGACUUUACUUCAUGACUGAGGACAAGCACAGUGGGACAAUGGAAGCCUUGGACUUCAUGUACACUCAAUUCUGUCUGAAUGUUUGAUUGGAGCAAAGAGUAAGGUGGGUUUCUCUUGUCUUCUUGGGUGGACUUAGAUCAUUCAUGUUACUUUACAUAAUAACUAUCUUCAUUUCAAAAUAGUGAUUAUAUUGUCAAUCUUGAGCUGCUACCUUGCUGCAUGAGCUCAACUAAUAUGUCCCACUUGGGACCGUGUGAAACUAAUGUGCGAGAAACCUCUCUAUUAAGCAACUCCCCAUAACUUAGAAGCUAAAAGAAAAUAAUAUAAUCUUGCACAUCAACAGAUAGAACUUAAAAGAAGCACGUAAUGAAAUCUUAUCGACCCAGCUCCCUCAUUCAUUUAAACUUCCUUUUGAUUUUGUACUAUUUACAUGGAUUUUCAAUAAAAUUUUGGUGCAUUGCUCUAUAUCAAUAUCAAACUAUUGAUAUUGGCAUCAGUUGGAUGAAAUCUAUUCGGAAUUCUUAUAACAAGAGUCGAGACAUCGUACGUUAGAAUCAAACAGAGACAUGCUGCUCCCAAAGGUGAACAGUUGCUGCAAUUCCUUACACAUGAUUACAAGCUAUAUUCCGAAUGGUGGACACGCAUGCUCAUCUUUUAUUGUGGAAUGGCAAAGGGAAAAGUUGGCUCCCAGCAUUUAGACAUUGCCGUCCAUCUCACGUGUGAGCAGUACCCAUGUCAUGCAUGUUGCAUACAGCACAAGCAUUAGACUACAAUACAUCAAUUGUACCUCAUCCUUCACCUCAUUCUUUGGGAUCCAUUUGUAUAUCAACGCAUGCACAUGAUUUGAUCAUAUACAUGCACAUGCAUCUGGAUGCGCGACGGAUCUUUCUUGAGGGUAAUUUGGCUAUAGUGAUCGAUUGGAUCCAAAGUGGACAUGCCAGGACAGAUUUGCACCAUCUAGUCAGUGAUAUUUACUAUUUUCUAGAGGAGUCUGAUUCCUUCAGCGUCAUGUGUGUAUUUUGGAAGGCGAAUAGUGCGGCGAACGGGGUCGUUUCCUUCGCAGCACAUCAUUUUGGAGCCGUCACAUGGAGGACAUUGGAGCUUGUGCCAUUGGCACAAGAGCAUAUUUUGUACGGUAACUAUUCCGAGCGUACUUACGGCUGUAUGUAGUGAGACACUGAUACACCAAAAAAGAAAAAACCAAUCUAAUAAUCAUCCAUGCGAACUUCACCUCAUUCUUUGGGAACCAUUUGUAUAUCAACACAUGCAUAUGUUUGAUCAUUUACACGUACAUUACGAGAGCCAUGAAACCGAUCUAAUCAUCAUCCAUGCAAACUGCGCCAGUGCAACUUACUCGAAAUGCAAUUUAGACACCAUGCAAGCAUCCUGAUUAUCAAAUGUGUGUCAAUUGAUACAUGCAAGCAUCCUAAAAUGUUGUGUUUCAUUCCAAAAGAAAGUAACCAAAUUUUUUGAGGAUCAUCAUCUACUAAAUACAAUUAGAUAAAUUCCUAGAUGACACGAGUGCACCACAGCCAACUAUAGCCGCUGGUUCCUGUAUUAAGUAUCCAACUAAUCACAGCAUGAAUCUUAUUUAUCAAAUACAUAUAUGGGUGUAUCAUUAUAUGAAUCAGCGGUUAUGAUUGGCUGCUUACCAUGUGGUGCAGGUCUAAUCUAAGAAAUAUAAUAUAGCCGAGAAUAUCAUGCACUAAUGAUGGGGCCCAGGAUCAUGAUAUAUUGGACGACACGCAUGAUGCGGGUCGGUGGGGCGGUAGCCGCACCGAGCGGCGAUGGGAUCUUAACCUUUUUAUUCUGUUGAGAGGAUUCUGGGCCGUAGAAGGGAACGGCACGGGGGACAGAAGGAUCGGAAAACGUCGCACGUAGCCCGUUGCUCCCCAGCUGUACGGUGACGUGGCACGCGGCAAUGUGGGCCCCAGGGAUGGAUGACGCCCGUCACGUCGCAGUGGGUAGAGAGAAGGCGAAAUUGUUGAUUGAAAGAGAUAUAACAACUAACUCUUUUAACAAAUAAAUAAGACGCUCGCUAUGUUCCAUCAUAAUUGAAGAUUCGAUAUUUAUGUUUUUAGAAAACCAACGUGUCGUUAUAUGAGAGAGCAAGGACUUUAGACAACAUGCAUACUGCUAUGAGUACUCAAUAUAGAAAUAGAUUAAUAUCCAGUAGUAACAUCCAAUAAUUACAGUACAAUUGGCAUGCUGCAUCUUUGAUAUUGGAUGAAGAAAAAAAAACUCUUCAAUAAUAUAUCAUUUUUUCAUCUCUUAAUUAGGUAGCAGGAUCAUUAUCUUUUUCAUGUACACAUUUAAGUAAUUAUUUUUGAAGUAUUAGCCUUCAAGUAUCAUUGAAGCAAACAUCUCUUUCUAUUAUCAUUGCGGCUUAGCAAUACCAACAAUGGAAAACUACCAUUUUAGCUGACUUGUAUCAUUUGUUCUCUAUGACAACAAAUAUAAAAAAUUUAGAUUUUUCAUUUAAAAAGGUAACAUAUCAAGUAUGGUGGUCUUUUGGUGUUGUUAGGAAGAUAUGAUUGUCCAAAUAUAUGUUAAUGUAGUUAUAGUGGAAAUAAAGAGUCUAAACUUAGUCCCACAUUGACUAGAUAGUGGAGAGGUUUGAUCCUUAAAUGGAGGGGAGCAACCACUUUUUUUUUCAGAGGAGCCUUUUGUAGGGCAAAACCGUGCGUUGAGAAGAGACUAUGAAACUUCCUUCAAAACGGACAAUACCUCUGAGAAGAAUCAGUCGCCUCCGCUGUCUGAGACCGAUAGAAACGAGGUCGGAAGGCGGCAGAUCCUUCCAUAGUGCUGGAUACAUGGGUCGGAGCCCGACCUUCCAUAAGCUCAUCAGUAGUAUUACUACAUUUCAACAAAAAGAAUAAAACAAUUUCGAUGCGUUGGAAGAGGUCAGCUAUCAGCGGAUUAUACCCGCAUCUCAAUCACCUUCCCAUUGAUGUCCAUGACGGGCGCAAAAUUGGACCAAGCCGAACUCACACGCCACGUAUAAAAAAAAAUCUCAAACGGCUUCUUACGUGCCGAAAAUUCUGAACCUGGCCCCGGCUCACGGUAGCCACCAGCUAAUGGGUUGGCCUCCAUCCGCGCAACAAAUCCCUGUAUCUCGAUCCAACGGCCGCGACUGCCUCUACCCGCACAACGGAUCUUUACACAAUCCAACGGCCUUGAUUCUCUCUCUUUUUUUUCCCCCCUCGACCGGUAAAUCCCGUGACUCCCCGUGAGUAAUUAAGUAUUAACGGUGCUUGCCCUCUAAUCUAUCCCUUUCUCAGCUCGCUCCUCCCCUCUCCCCCCACUAAGCUCUCAUUAAGACUUUUUUAAAGAAGAAAACCUCGAGAUUUUUUUUUUGAAAAAAUUAAAAUAUGACGACGAUGUGAGCCUGGCUUCUGGUGGGAUUCUCUCCUCUCUCUCGCCCCUUUUAAUGCCAGCUAGCUUCCAUACUGCCCUCGGGGAAAUAAUAACAGUCUAAACUCUAAAGAGAACCCUAUCAGCUGAGUCUAAAAAGAAGGAAGAAGGGAAGAAAGGAAGAAAAGGGUGAGAGGUUAGAUUCUGGCCCCAAGGAGGGAAGAGGGAAUGUCGAAGGAGAGAGAUAGAGAGAAGGGGAUGGUGGGGAUUUGGCUUCUUUUGGUCUGCAUUUGGAUCUGGAAUGCGAGCUUUGUCAAUGGCGAUACGAAGUCAGAUGAUGGUGAGCUCAGCUUUGGAUUCUUAGCAGCGUUUUUGCUCUCUUUUCGGUGGGUUUCUUUACUAGAUCAGAGGGGAAAGGAGGGGUUCUGCAAUGGGUGGGAGCACGCGGGAGGGCACCAAAUUGUGCUGUUCUCGUGUCGAAUCUGUUCUCUUUUUGGAUGGGUGUUGUUUUUUUUUUUUCGCUUUAGAGGGUCGAAAAGGUAUGUUUUUGAUUCGUUUUUGUAACUCCUUUUGGGUGUCUUUUGAGCUGCGGAGUGGGCGUUUUGGUUGGAUUCGGAGAACAAUCUCUCUCUCUUUUUUUUAAAAAAAAACUUUCGCUGGAGGUUUUGGCUUUUGAGUUUUUGUUGGAUUUGAAGGAAAAAUUUGUUUUACCCAAGAAUGAGUUGGUUUCUUAACGAAAAUAGAUCUCUUUGGAUCCUACUAUCUGUUCGUGGCAAACAAGCCAGUGACUUCCGUGUCAUUAUACUUCAGCUUUUUUACUGACCUGUCCUGCUUUUGGGUCUGGGAGGAGUCGGUUGGAUGAUUUGAUGAUUUAUUUUUCCAAUCUAAAAAGCAAAGAGAAAAAAGAGAUUUAGUUGCUUGUUUCUUACAUUCUAGUACUUUUUCCGGUUUGAUUAUAAUUAUUUGAUAAAUUUAUAUUCUGAUCUGAUCUCUUACCAGAACAAAGUAUAGGUUCAUGAAUCUGACAGACUUAUGCUUGAACUGACUUCAUCCAUGGGGCGUUGGUAUGAUAUUUAAGCCUUGACUAUAUUGAUACGUUUCUCUAAUCUCAUGUUUUCUUUGCAGUUUCUGCUCUCAAUGUCCUGUAUAGCAGCCUAAAUUCGCCAAGCCAGCUGACAGGUUGGACCUCAAAUGCUGGUGAUCCCUGUGGACAGUCAUGGUUGGGUGUUACAUGCUCUGGUCAAGCGGUUACAACAAUGUGAGGUUACAUUAUUAUGAGUUGUCUGAACCUUAAGCGCUGUGCAUUGCUUUGAUGCUUUAUCUGAUAUGUUUUUUAUAUUAUGAGCUCCACCAGCAAACUGUCUGGCUUGGGACUUUCUGGUUCUUUGGGGUACCAGAUGUCAGGCAUGACUUCGCUAACAGAGCUGUGAGUCCUGUAGUUCUUUCAGUGAUGCAUAUACUCCAGGAUAUGCAUGGAAACUGAUGUUGGAAUUUGAUGUCCUGAGAUUGAUGCAGUGACAUGAGCAAUAAUAAUCUUGGAGGUGGACAACAGAUACCUUAUAAUCUUCCUCCAAACCUCGAGAAACUGUAAGUUGUACUAAUUUGGUUGGUCUCAGCUAUUUGCUUGAUUUCAUAGCCACUGUCUCAUGAGAAAUUUGAUCUGCAGAAAUCUUGCUGGAAAUCAGUUCACUGGAAAUGUACCUUAUUCUAUUUCUCAAAUGAUUCCACUAAAAUAUCUGUAAGUGGGCUUGCAAAUAUAAUUAUUUCAUUUUCUCUUGCAAAUUAUAUGGUGCGUUUGCCUAAACGAAGCGUUAAUAUCUGUAGAAAUCUUAGCCAUAAUCAACUCCAGGGCAAUCUGAGUGACAUGUUUGGACAGCUUACAAAUCUCACCACAAUGUGAGUGUGAAUUGAGCACUCUCUAUUUUAAUGGAACUCAUAACUCUUUUUGAAUUUCAGUGUACUUGCUGUAGUACAAAAGGUGCUAUCAUAAUUUGUGGUUGAGGAAAGGCCAAUUUUCUUGGACAAUCAUCUUUGACACAAUUGAGGAUACACGCACCAAAUUUUGCCACCCAUUUCCACAUUCUUAACUGGAUUAUGAAUCAUGAAAGUUUGUUCUGAAUAUAUUUACUAGGAGGCAUGCUAUCCUAUAUAAUGCUAGCUUUUUGUAACUUACUAGGAGGCAUGCUAUCCUACAUACUGAUAAUUGAAUAUCUUUACUUUUGAAUAUGCAAAUGCUAGUUUCGCCCCUCAUCUACUUAUCCUUUUUCUCCUUGUUUUUCCUUCCUUGAUUAAUAAGUUAAUGACUUUAUGGUGCAGGGACCUCUCCUCCAAUGCUCUUACAGGUGACCUGCCACAGAGUUUUAGCUCCCUAUCAAGUUUGACUACCUUGUAAGGAGAAUAGCACAAAGUUCGCGGGUUAUUUUGAUAUUUAGCACCACAUUUCACAAAAACUUACUUCCACCAUUUAUUUCCCAUCCUGCAGACACUUGCAAAACAACCAGUUUACAGGUUCCAUAGAUGUCCUUGCCAGUCUCCCUCUUAAUGAUUUGUACGUAAAUAAUGUUGUGCACAGUAAAAGAAAAAAGUUUGUGUAUUAUAAAGAACAGAACUUAUGUGCCCAUGCUUCCAGGAAUGUUGCAAAUAAUCGCUUCACUGGAUGGAUUCCUGACAAGCUAAGGGGGAUAAACAAUCUUCAGUGAGUACUUGGUGGACCCUGAUGACAUCAAUAAUCUGAUAGUGAUAAUAAUUGUUAUGUUUGGAACUCACCCGCUAAUCAUUUUUUCACAGGACUGGUGGUAACUCAUGGAGCUCAGGGCCUGCACCUCCACCCCCACCAUAUACACCUCCUCCUCCAAGUCGACGAAGCAACCCUGGUCAGCGAUCUGGUGACAGUAGCAGCCCAUCAGGUGGCGGUGGAAAAAGUUCUGGUAUAGGUGCUGGGGGCAUAGCUGGAAUCAUUAUAUCUAUUUUUGUCAUAGGUGGAAUUAUUGCAUUUUUCUUGAUAAGAAAAAGAACACAAAGGUCUUCAAGGAAAGAAAUCCUCGAACAAGAUCAGCCUUUCACACCUCUUGCUCCAAAAGAGGUUAGAGGUAAUUUUUGUUUUUCUUGCCCUCCUCAAAGUUCAGAUAUGCUAGGCUAAGCCAUCUAUUAGUAUGCAUAUGUGUAUUUUCUUGACUAUUGAAUUUAGACCAACAUAUAAUGAGUCUCUUAGUCACCAUAUCUUGACUCAUUCUCCUCAUUAUGCAUAUGGGUCUGAUACAAUACUAUGUAAUCAAUAUUUUAAUUAGGUAACCACUCAAAUGAGUCUUGAAAUAGCUGUAGGGCAGAAUUACAAACAAAAAAAUCUUUUUAAAUUGCAAAUUUCGCAAUGAGAUAUUUUAUGUGACCCGGUUCAUCGUAUAUUAAAUUAGACUUCUUACCCAUAUUCAAUGGGAUUUUUCGUUCUAAAAUAAAAAAAAGUGCAAUAAUUAAUGUUGUUACCAAAGCAAUGCGGCGUAGGAUUUGGCAAGGUUGUAAUGGUUUUAUGACCAUUUUUUAGUUUUCUCGAGGAAUCGUGACUGUUGACUUUUUGAUGCUUCAUUUUGUUUUCUAAGCUCACAGCUUCAAUAUCUGUCCGAGACCUUUGUUAUGUUAGUGGUUCUGUUGUCAGGUCAUUCGUCUUAUGCAUAUCUUCUAGAUGCAGCUAGGCUUGCAAUUGCAUACCUCAAGAUUUCCUAUUGUGUAUGUCACAAAUUGUUGAUUCUGUUAUCAGUUUAAUACAAACGAGUAUCCUUUUGGAUUUAUCCUAUGAGUGUACUGAUUUGAAGGGAUCAAACUUAUUGACCACUAUUUCUGUGUAUUCCUUUUCUUAAAACUUUUGUGGAUGUCAAGGUGGAAUUUUGUAUCUUGGCCUAUGGAAAAAUAUUGGUUGUAGGUUACCAGGUAUCAUCCUUGGAUUAUAAUGUGGUUGUUUAAUUUUCAUCCACACCUUAAAACUCUGAUACAUCUUUUAUGCAUGUUCACCUUCUUGUAGGUUAUUGCAUGUAUUUGGUGUUAUUUGUGGGAUUCCUUUUUUAAAUCCAUCAAAUUUAGAUGCUAGGAUAUAACACAAGAUGGCAUGACACUCUUUUGCACUCCAAUAGUAUCUUGACUAGCUUGAACUCUCGAAAUUUUGAUAGUUGGCAUAAACUUUUUAUCUGUAAAUAAGCCUCAAGCCUUAACAUCACAUAAUAUCUUAUGAAGAAAAUUUUUAGGUUUUCAUGUCUCCAUAAACACAAAAAGAUUCAUCAGUCACUUAAAAAGUCUAUACCUAUUUUUUUCUCCGAACCUAGACAAUUAAAAUGUUACAACCAGUCACUUUAUUAUUUGCCACUUUAUUAUUUUCCUAUGUACAUUUUGCACAAGCCCAUCAUUGAAUUGCAGUAGAAGCCAACGUAUUUGGAGCAUGGUAUGUUGUACCAUACUGAAUUAGUACGGUACGGUAUCUGAAGCAUGGUACGCCGUACCGGCCCAAAUUGGACGGUACAGGGCAUACCGUACCGUACUAGUUCGGUACUGAUAUCCGCUAUGGGUGGCGUACCGACGCUUGGUACUCCAAAAAAAAUUUGUAUUGUAUCAUACCAUAUCGACAUUGUGCUAGUGUGGCACCGGUACGGAGUCCUAUACCGAGAUGGCGAAUCUUGAUCUGAAGUAUUGCUAAUGAGAGUUAUUGCCUUGAUUUUGCUCUGUAUCAUAUGAGCAGUGCCCACAGUUUAACUCUAUCAUGGUUCUGGUUCUGCUUACCUAUAAUAGGUCUUCUUUUAUUCCUCCAUGUAUUGUUUAUAAUUCUGCUUCUAGCUGAUCUGCUGUCCUUCUGCUAUUGCAAAUGUUGAUAGUUCUUCCUUAUUUUUUGCUAUUCCCUUAUAGCUUGAAGGUCAUUGUGGUUCCAUGGUCUGUCUGUAAUUUAGCCUAGACCAUCCUUGACCUGGGGGUGUUUUUGUCCUUUCAUUUUGCCUUAUCAAUCAUUUAGUGUCUAUCCUUCAUUUGUCAAGCUCCAAAAAGUCUGCCUAUUUCCAGUAAAUUCUUCUGAAAAAUCUUCUGAGCCUUGCCCAUUCUUCCUGGAACUUUUCGUUCCUCCCCCUUCAUAUAGAUUACACGGUAAAUCUUAUUAUCACUAUUUAAUCUCCUGAUUUUUCCCCUCAUAACUGAUCUGCUUGAUCAGUCCAAAGUCCAAACUUAAGUUAUUUUGAAUCUGCCUCUGUACUUGAGUGGAUACAAAGGGGAAAUAUUUGAUGUCUUUUGGUAUAUACUUCUGUCACAAAGCCCAAGAGAUAUUCUUUGUCAGCAGUUGAUUAGCUGUUGUGUGCCUACCUCCAGAGGAAAUGUCCAACCUAGGACCAUGCUGUGUUGUUCAAGUUUAUUGGUUUUACCCAUGUUUAAUUCAAACCCAACAAGACAACAAUACUCAUUUCUUCUUUACUAAUGCCUCUGGUGAGCAUGAUCAUCCUCUUUAUGGCACAAUCUCUUAUAACACCAUUUCCUUGUAAACUGUCUUAUCCAAAUACUCUUUUUUUUUUUCAAUUAGUGGUCACACCAUUCUGCUUAGCAACCAGAGGUUCUGGGCUUGAGUCUUGGUUGGUGCACCCUACAUAUUUGGACUUGGGUGAUUAUGAUGUGGAUUGGACUUCCUCUCUCUCUCUCUCUCUUGCUCUCGCUCAAAAAAAAAGAGCAAAAUUUCCUUCUCAUUGCUCCAUUCUGUUUAUCAAAUUAUUCAUGUAUUGUACUCCCUCACUCUUAAGUUAUUAAGGCAUGUCAAUGACUAUCAACCUUGGCAUUUGUGUUAAGUUUAAUUUGUAUAACUUCUCCAGCAGUCCAUUGGAUUCACUUACACCACUUAGGAGUUGUCAGGUAAGAAUAUAAUCUUGCUGCUUUUGGAGGUGAUAAUGUUCCAACAUGUCCAUACUUGUUGUAAAAUGCCCUGCUUCCAUGACUAUUCCUCUUGAUGUGUAUGCCCUGUCGCAUGGUCUGAAUUUUUAUAAAGUAGCUCCAAAAUUCUUAGGACCUGCUACCUACUCUUAGUGGAUAUGAUGUAUUUGUUGAUCUCUUUGAGUUUUCAAGUAAAAAAUAAACUCUCUUUCAUCAGAAAUUUAUCUUCUUUUGGGACUGUGGGUGGUCAGAGCAUCAAGAGGCUAAACCUACAGGACAUAUCAAAUGAGGGUUUUCUUCCUACCUCUGCAGGCUAUCCUGGUUCUCCUUCACAUUUAAUUUUUUCGAAUUAUAAAGUUGCAAGCCCUGCAUCUUAUUCUCCUUGCAAUAACUGGUUUGCCGAAUAUCUUCAUAUCUUGCAGGUUUAUACAAGCCCCUUUGUCGCUGAAACUGAUGCAAAUCUGAUGAAAUCCUAUUGCUAGACUUAUGUAAAUUACCUUCUUGAGCUAUUUAGACCUUUCAGCUGUCCUUAUUUUCAAACAUUGCACCAUGCAAGCUUGGUAUUUGUCAGGCAAUAGUUGGUACACAUUUUGUUGUUGGUGCAAGUGAUGAUACCUGAAUUAUCUGCCUUGGGUGGUCGUUGAUUUUCUUUCAUAGUUUUUUCCAGUUUUAAAUUCAAGAAUGAAGUUUCAUUGAGUAAUCACAUUGUCAAGUACUCAAGAUGUUCAUAUUCACUUGUAUACUUGAGGAUUAUUUAUUUUGUUGGUCGAUAUAUUACUUUUUUCCCCUUAAAUGUUAGCUUUGUCAUUGGAAAAUUGCUACUUUCGCCAAACGCCUGGGCGACACUAAAUGCAUUUGAACAAUGCAAGCUAAGCUGUGAGCCACCAAAGUCUCUGAACUAUUUAGAAAUUAUGUUGUUCCAUAGCAUGUUGUCAUAUUUGAAACAUUCACAAACAUGCAAAAUCAUGAUAGGAUAGCUAUUAAAUUGUCUUGCUUGGAAUAAGAUGCUAAUUAAUUUGCUUAAUAAUUUCUUCAAAUUGCACCAUUAAUUGUGUCAUUCCUGACAUUCUAUAUGUUUUAUUUUAUAUGAUUGAUUGUUUAUCUGCAGAGAUGAAAUCUAUCCAAACAUCCUCUGCAAUUGAUGCAGCAACAUUUCCAUCAUCUGCUCCAAUUAGCCUUAAACCUCCUCCUAUUGAUCGACACAAAUCAUUUGAUGAAGAUGAUUUCUCGAACAAGCCUGUUGUGAAGAAAGCAAAUACAGCACCCAUAAAAGCAACUGUGUAUUCAGUGGCUGAUCUGCAGAUGGCUACUGAUAGUUUUAGCAUAGAAAAUCUUAUUGGUGAGGGGUCUUUUGGACGUGUUUAUAGGGCACAAUUCAGCGAUGGAAAGGUAUGUUUUUCACUUGAAUUUUAUGCUUCCUUCUGUGCCCCAUUUGUGAGAAGAUCUUUUCUUUAGUUUGUCCUCGUGAAUUUUAAGUUUUUUAUCUUGAAAAAUAAGUUGUGCACAUGUUUAAUAUGAAGCCUGUGUUUCCAUGAUCAUGAAACGCACAUUUUAUUGAAAGUCAAAAGAAAUAAUGUUCUUUUAGGAUUUUUUUCAUUUAAAUUAAAUCAUACUAACAUGAAAUGUAGCUUGUAGCUGGAAGCAUGAAAUUCUAUUGUAUGGCUGCAAAUGGGGCAGAAUGUGAUUGAAGCAAUGCCCCAAAGCAGUGUAAACUAGAACUCACUCCCCAAAGAGUAUAAUGGAGAUAAAAGAAAUAGAAAAGGCUUACACUGGUAAUGAAGGGCUAGGAUGUGUUCUUACUAGGGUCUAUGAUGUUUUAUAAUGAAAAUGGAGUGGAAACAUCAUGAUGAGUUGGCUUUUCUGGUUUUUUGAGAAUGAGCACUGUGAACUAUCCGCUUCAAAAAGGAUAGUGGAUUGAACCGAAACAAACGUUAAGUAAAGUUAGCUGUUCAACUUUUUUUUGUACCAAAAAACUGUUCAACUUUCUUGAUAGGUAAAAUUUCUAAUUUAAAACUUCAAUAACUGGUGGAAAAAGCAUCAUGGCUUACACGAGAGAAGAGAUGUAUAGGUAAAAAAAUUUCUGGUUAUAUACAAGAAAUCACUUCUUCAAAAUUCUCUUUAGCAAGCUGCCAUUGUCUUGCUAGCGCGAUGAACCAUGUGGUUCGCAAUUUCAUAUUAAGUACCUAGAUGCAUCGUAUUUGUUCUCAUUGAGGAUAAAUAAUAAUUUCUGUUGUCAUUUACAUAAUGAUUUUUCUUUAUAGGUUUUGGCUGUGAAAAAAAUAAAUUCUUCAGCCUUGCCAAACCAAUCAGCUGGAGACUUCAUUGAGCUGGUCUCCAAUAUCUCACGGUUACAUCAUCCAAAUUUGACUGAGCUGGUGGGAUACUGUUCUGAACAUGGACAGUACUUGCUGGUUUAUGAGUUUCACAAGAAUGGAUCGCUGCAUGAUCUCCUUCACCUCUCGGAUGAAUACAGCAAACCAUUGUCUUGGAGUACCAGGGUCAAGAUUGCACUCGGUGCCGCACGGGCAUUAGAGUAAGUGAGAUAUUAUUCUAGAAAUUGUCUUUGAUUUUCUUUUGCCAGAACCUGAAAAAUUGUCAGCAGUAAAUUAUGAUAUAAUCCUGCAACAUAUCAGCUAUUUCAUCGUGCAGUUAAAAGAGGUUUGCUUCCAAAUGUUAAAGAAAAAGUAUUUUCUAGGUUUUCAUUUACAUUUAUAUAGUAGCAUGGCAACACUUUCGUAUGAUCAGUAAAUAUGACAGUGUUUCUUCUCUUCGUUAAAUCAUUUAUAGCCUAUGACUUCAUCAUCUCACAAUUUUGAAAUCGAACACCCAUUUUAAGGGUUCACAAAUGUUUAGCCUUUCUGGAAGAUUGUACAUUUUCUGGAUGCUUAUAGUCCCUAGUAAGUUAUUUACCUUCUAUCUUGGACUAUUUGCCUAGCGUAGUUUCUUUAGGAUUUAUUAAACCUUUGAUAUGAUUAACACCUAAACCUUUGUUCUGGAGUGCUGCUUCGCUGCACCACUUAUUUCCCCGCUCUGUGCACCAGUCCCUGGUGAGAGUCAGGGAUUGAUGUGGAGCAUGGUAUCACGUGNGUGAUAGGCGGGCCCCGUAUACCUGCCCACCAAUCACCACUUGCAGGGACUGGAGCAGGGAAAUUUGUGGUGCAGUGAAGCUUUUUCCUUUGUUCUGAUGGCAAUAUGUUGUAAGCACACCCACCAAUCCAUUUGAUAUCCAUUUCAGUUUUCAAGCAAGCAUGGCUUGUCAUAAAAUAGAGUUGAUAGAUAACAAGUUUUAUAAGCUUUAGCAUAUUGUUGUAACUUGUAAGUAUAUUAUUUGGAUUUUGGGGAAAAAUGCAAUAUUUCUUUAAUGGGAUUCUGAUUGAUACUGCAUGUAUCUGAAUUGAUGCAAUGAUGUUUCUUGUAGAAUUUGACUCUGGAGCGUCAAUCAUGUUUUGAUGGUUCCACAUGAUGUUUGCAAGAAAUGUUUUCUAGCAGUAAUGAUACUUUCAAAAACUCUAUAGUUCAUAUAUUUUGCACUAGCUUUAUUGAUUUGAGGAUUAUUUGUGAAAAAUCAUGAAAUUUCUAAAAUAUGCCAAAAUUCACGGCAGAUCAGUCACAACAUGAAGUAUCUACAAAUUGUUGAUGGAUCGAUAUUAUUAUAGUUGAUUUGGCUAAUGUUCCUUGUUGUUGCCCUUUCUUAGCUCUUUUUUCCUGCAUGAAUUGUAGCAUUUAGAAAUAUCUACCUCUUUCCUCUUUUUUGUUUUUGAUUUAUCGGCAACUUCUGAAGCUUGGUGAAUAUUCUUCCUUCUAUUCAAAGUUCUAAUUUCCCUCAAUACCAAACUUAUGGUGUUCUAUAUUCAUUUUACUACCUGCAAAUAUUACUAUCAGGUAUCUGCAUGAGGUUUGUUCUCCAUCUGUUGUCCAUAAAAAUUUCAAGUCAUCAAAUAUUUUGUUGGACACGGAGCUCAAUCCUCACCUUUCAGAUUGUGGGCUCGCAAACCUCAUCCCUGAUGCGGAAUUUCAGGUAAAGAUCAGAUUCACAACACAUCCACAAGUGGAACAUAGAACCUUUUACUCUGCACUUAUUUUUGUUAGUUUCAGUAUAAUUAGAGUGCUGAUGUUCCUUCAAUCUUUUAUCCUUUCGAUGGGUAAAGUAUUUAGAAGGGAACAGAAAUGGAUGUUGAGUACUAAAACAUUAUUCUGUCUAAUAGCAUUUUGCCAGUUGUAUAUAUAUGAGAGAGAGAGAGAGAGAACAAUUUAACAGGUAUAUUUCUGAUCAGAAGGAAAUAGGGAAGAUUCAUGGUGGCUAAAACUAUUUGAUUUAUAAUGAGGUCAGGAUCAUAAGGAUUGCCAUAGGAGGGCUUAAAAUUGGAUGUUAGAAACACUUUGUUUUGGAAGAGAAGAUGCCAAGUUUUGAAUAUUAAGAGGGGAAGGGAGGGGAAGAAGGGUGGAAAUGGAUAUUCUUUGUUCAUUUUCUUUCUUUUAUCAACCUACACCCUGAAAGGGCAUGGUAGAUGAAAGUAAAAGUUUAAGCUACAGAGAUAAUCUGUCUGGUAUUUAUUAUUUUCUUUUUCUUUUUUUGCCUGCAUCAGCAUUUUUAUUGAAGGACAUGGUUCAGCCAAGCCUGGGUGAGCGAGGCCCUACUUGAGAUCUGCUUGAAAUUUGAAAUUUCACAGUGCUAACUAACUGGUACUUGAUUAGAGUUAUGAACCCAAAGACUAACUUCCAACUUGACUCUAUUAAUUUUGGGUAGAACCUGAGCUGUACAUGAAUGGUUCAUUCGAGGAAUCUAGGAGAGCCUAAGCCAACAGUUAGAGAGAAGAAUGAGAGAAGUUGGGAUUGGUAGGAGAAGACGAGUUCCGGUUGAUGCCAAUGGAGUCAGGUGGUGAUCUGUUGUUAAUUAGUAUGGCUUAAGUUUGGGAAGAGGAGACAUGCCAGGGAGCUGUUGGGUUAGGAUUUGAAGGACUGACGAGAGAAGGACAGGAUCAGGAUUCUUGAUGACUCUGAAGUCUGAAGGUUUGCCACCCGGGGGGUAGGAGAUGAGUUGGGUAGUGCGGGAAGCCGGAGAAAGCCUACUAAGGUCUAAGCUGGAACACAUUGUUAGCUCGGUUAAGGUAGAGAGUAAAGUGGGGAUAGAGAUGCUAACAUUCAUUUGUAUUUAUAGAUUGUUUGUCCAAGUGAUUAAUCAUUGGAUGCUAACAUUCAUAUGUAUUUAUAGUUUUAUAGUUACAAUACCGAUGUAUCCCUGGGUUCAAAUUUUUGAAGGUUACCAUAUUGGGUUAUUCAGACACCAGGAUUUUGCAUGUUUAAGCUGCUUUUUGAGAUAAUUAUGAUUUUGCUUGCAAUGAGCAGCAUCAUUUGCCCGACUUACCAUCGCCUAAUUUUGGUCAAUAUUGCAUUGAUCUUUUAUGAAGUUUUUCCUAUAUUUUUUAUUUAAAUUUUGCAGGCAUCAGAUCAGAACAUGAGUUCUGGAUACGGUGCCCCUGAGGUUGCCAUGUCUGGCCAGUAUACUCUGAAGAGUGAUGUUUACAGUUUUGGAGUGGUCAUGCUGGAGCUUUUGACCGGACGGAUGCCUUUUGACAGGUAAAUCUUAAUCUGCUACUAGUCAUGAUCCAAGUACAACUGGAAUUGGGGGAUUUUGUCGUAUUAUGUCUUGAUUGCUGAAACAUUUCUACAGCUCUAGAUCGCGAACUGAGCAGUCAUUGGUUCGAUGGGCAACCCCUCAGCUCCAUGACAUUGAUGCAUUGGACAGGAUGGUUGAUCCGGCCCUCAAGGGGCUAUACCCUGCAAAAUCACUCUCUCGAUUUGCUGAUGUGAUUGCGCUCUGUGUUCAGGUAAAUGGAGUUGAUAGAAUCAAAAAAAAAUCCAUCUAGUUUGUUAUGGCUGAAAAAUUCACUAGAUUUACUAGGGUGAUCAUAAGGCAUGCAACUAAGCACCAAUUCCACACCAUUUCAAAACAUUUCUCCAUGUGGUGAAUUUUAAAGGAAACCAGCGUAUCUGUAGAUGAUAUUCUCAUACUUUACCCCAAUGAAGUUUAUUAAUUUCUUACAUUUCGAAAUUGGAUUUUGACAGCCUGAGCCGGAGUUCAGACCACCGAUGUCAGAAGUUGUGCAGGCUUUAGUUCGUUUGGUGCAGAGAGCCAACAUGAGCAAGAGAAUGCUCGGUGGGGACAUGCAGGAGACUGCUCGACGAUCUGAUGAUCCAGACACGCAGGACUAUUUAUGAGGUGGGAGUUAGCUAGUAAGGUUGUGUCGAAUCUCCCAGAUGGUGUGGCAUAAUUGUAUUUCCAUGUAUCGAUACGCAUUUUUUUUCUUUCGCUGUGUUAUGGAAUAUUAUGGCUAAGAAACCCCACGUUUUAGAUGUCACGUGCUUUUCUUUUAUAUGGGGGAGUGGCCUAAUACAUAUCAACUUUUUGUUCCAAGCAGAAUUCUUCAGGUGGUACUGUGAAUAAGCAAAUGGUGUUUCUUAUCAGAGUUCUAUUCAAGUCCGUUUUUAUUUUUUAGUAAAAAGAAACUUAAACUAAUGUUCAGAAGAAAAGAUUUCAUUGAUAGAUGGUAGACAAAUGAAACGGCAGCAGAAACCAUUGAAUCCAAUNNNNNNNNNNNNNNNNNNNNNNNNNNNNNNNNNNNNNNNNNNNNNNNNNNNNNNNNNNNNNNNNNNNNNNNNNNNNNNNNNNNNNNNNNNNNNNNNNNNNNNNNNNNNNNNNNNNNNNNNNNNNNNNNNNNNNNNNNNNNUUAGUUGUUUUGAUUCACUGUCAAUUCAGUGUGAAUGGCAUGGAACCGCAUCAUUCAGUCUGAUGAAUUACCUGGUAUUAGUUCCCCUAUCAUUGUUCAGCUGAUCACUUGCUUCCCCAAGUGCAGAAUUAGUUGGUUCAAACCGGGAAAGAUUUCUCAAAAAUUCGUCAUGAGUUUAUUGAAUUUGCCCAAAAAAAAUAACAAAAUAAAAGAAAUCAUGACUUUGUCGAAGACUUUAAAUACCUCUCAGAGCAAAAAAUAUAUGGAGAAAUUAAUUGCUCGGGAACACAAUCCACCAGCCAAUGGACUGGCCAAGAAGGAACUUUCACUGCCACAGUGGAACCAGGCAAGGAGAGGUGUUAAAACCUGAUCCAACCUAAGCUUGCUUUCUAAUCUCUACUGGCAUAAUAUAAACUCGAACUUCCAUCAUAAUGCGAAUGGAAGUAAGAUUGGACUGCCAAGUGACUCCACUUUUUGAAUAUUUCAUAACCAUGCAAUGAUGCAAAGUCAUGCUUCUUCAGAGUGAGUUCUCAUUGUUGCAAGGCUCCUGUCAAUGUCCCAGCGCUAUCCAGCUUUCCUGCGAAAGCAGGUACCAGCGACCCAAACAUAGUCCUUUAACCAUCAUAUUUUGGAAAUCUUUCCCAUUUGCUGCCGCAUGCACGUCUAAAUAAUACUUGUUUAAUUGAACUCCAUCUGUUUCAAACUUGUAAUUGAUGAUUGCAGAUGCAGGCACAUAUCAAAGACCAAUGUCUUCAAUAAAAUAGAUGGCAUGUUCAAAGUACAUUAUUUCAGGAUUCUACUGCCACAACUCAAAUAUCUAAAUAUCUCCUUCAUCUACUGUGAAGGGCCAUAAUUCAUUCAGUACAGAUUACAGGGCAUGCAUGCUGCAGCAAGGAUCAGCUAGUUGUGGACCACAUACAUUGGAGUAGCACUAGAAUUUCUCGUAGCCUUUGAUGACCUAAUUCACCGCAUCAAGAAAGUCUUUUUCUGUAACAGAAUAACGGUUCUCUUUUUAUGUAUGCACUAAAAGAGAGCUGGAUUUUCAAGUUUUAUAAUAGCAGAAAACUGUUUAAUAGGAUAGAGAUUACAAUCAUCUAUACUACUUUACGUAUCCAAUGUGGUUACAUUUUUAAUCAGAUAACAGUAAACUGUAGAGAAAUCUUCCUUCCUUAGGAUGGGCUUAUAUCAAUAAUAUCUUAUUUCCUUUUAACCGUGUUCCUAAUCCUUGUGUGCCACAGCCCAAUCACGUUGGCCCACUAAUCCACAAUUCCCUUUGUCAUGAUACGCGUUCUACAGUCUUUACAAAGUGAACUAGCCAGGAACAGAGGGCUUUGCAGCAAAAAUAAAAUAAUAAUAACAGCUCUGAUAAAUAAAUAUAUACCGACUUUAAGGGAGAUAAUUUAGGAAGAAUUCAUGAGAAAAAGCCAGCAUACAAAUGAAAGAGACUAAUAACUGUCAGACCCUUCAGCAAAGACAGGUUCCAAGACAAAAAGAAGAGAACAGAAAGCAUUGAACCACUAUUCAGAGAACACCGGUCUUCUUUGUUUUCCAUCGCCCUUCUCUAGGUCCGUAUCCUCCAAACUUUGUUCGGGGCGUGCAGCUCCACAAUCAUGGCACGCAUCUCCAGUUAUCACCCUCCCGAAGUUUCAUGAAACAAAAUAUUACUGCAAACACAAGGUAUUGCUGUCAAGAUGUAAACUGAAACAAAAUUUAAGGAUCUCAUUCUCUAUUUGCUGUCAAGAUGCAUGCCUCAUCCAAUCGAUAAGAAGAUGACUACCGCCUUCGACGAUUCCUUCUAGACUCUGGGAAUUGAAGAGGAACAGGAAGAGUCAUGAAAGCUUGUUGAAAAGCAGCGUCCUGAAAGAGCUUACAGCCCAAUUGCAGAUAGUAUGGUUUUAGAGAGUGGACAGUCAUCUUCAAGUCCCUUGCAAUAUCAGAUGGAUCACUGUGGAACUUGUCCACAAAAAGUGUGAGUACCAAUAUGUAACCAAUGAGAAGUUCUUUUUUCUCCAUAGAUACCAAGUCUGAGUCUGGAUUUACAAACAUCCUCAAUAACUUUUGAUAUAUAAUGCGUGGGAUCUUGGGACCACCUGCAGUCAUGCCAACAAAUCUGGCCUUAUGUUUAGAAAAUCUUAUUCGUCCCCAGAAAGCAUGAAGAUGAGUUAUGUAUGACAAGAUGCAUGCAAGUUUCUCCUUUUCUUUGUCAUCCUGCACAGGAAGUUAAAAGAUAAGUUUUUCCCAAAGAAGACAGGUUUUCUGAAAUAAUAUGAAAAUGACAACUAAAAAGAAAGCAGGGAGAAAGAAGCAAAAAAGAUGUCUUCCACAAUUCUUAUACUUUUGGACAGCAGAGAAGAAUAAGAUCACAUGCUAUUCACAACCUUCCCAUAAUUCCAAAGGAACAUAACCAGUUUCAUACAUGCAAAUCCAGAUUUUCAUCCUACUCUACUAUCGCUUCAAUUUGCAGACACACAGUGAAUGUCCAUCAGACAACAUGGGCGUUUGAAUUUGCUUUGUGGAAAAAUUCAACAUUAAAAAGAGCAUUAACAAAUAGAAUUAUAACAACCAGUUCUUGCAAACUACCAAAAAUAGGAAGCUAAUUAGAUUUCCAACCUAACUUGCAGGCUACACUAAAUAACACGAUAUUUAGGACUUCAAAUCAACUUCUAUAAGAAAGAAGCAAGUGAAAUUUUUUAAUUCCUCCACAGGUCCUUUUCACACAACAUAAGAUAUGAUUAUAUCUCUUCUCCCAAAAAUUUCCUGAGGAAGUUUAACUCGGUCGAUAAGCUUAAAAACAAAGUGCUCCAUAUAUCACAAUCAAAAGAGAAUCGCCUUUAAACUUUCAAUAUCUUUUACUCAUUUCACCAGGAUGAAUUGCUUUUACCUUCAAGUAAGAUGAAGAGGAGCUAUUGCCUUAUCUAGACUGAAAAUUUAUUUAGCAGCCAUAUUUUGGGCCAAUUUGAGAAGAAUGGACAAAUGUUCUAGGCCUUAACAAGGGUGCUAAACUUGCUUCUUGCAAAUUUCAUUCAAGUGACUAACAAUUAUUUUAAAUUACAUGGCAGAAAAGCACUAGUAAUAAUUCUAUGGUCAAACUUGCAGUGUCAUGGUUUCCUGCCAUGAGGAAGAAGUAUGUCCUUUUAAUCCAUAGAUAUGAGAAAUCUGUCCAGUUUAAAAAUAGAUGAUAUUUCUCUAGAUUUGACAUGAUAAUAUUCUUUUUCAUGAGUAGAAGUUAAAUCUAGUCAUUCAUUCUCAAGAAUUAGAAGCACUCCACAGCAAUUUCCCUGCAGCUUCAUUUUUCUCCCAAAACAUAUACCUGAUCACCGAGAAACCUCCUCCAAUGCAGUCCAUAGGUAGUGGGACCCCACAAGACAAAGGCAUCAAUGCCAACAAUCAAGAAGAAAAAGAGACAGAGAAGUGCAAUGUCCAUCAAACAGUCUCCAAUGAUAUUUUGAAUGUGUAUUCAGGAUGCAGCUAACCAAGGUCCCAUGGUGAAGAAAAAUUACCAACAUCUAUAACAAUUGAGUUGAGAAUGCCCUUAAUAUUCAUUUUAUCCAUAAUGAAAUUUGUACAUUAUAAACUAUGGGUCUGUUUGGCAUCAUUGUCGUUUUUAUAUUUUUGUUUCUCUACUAGUUAGUUAAAUAUUGCAUGGUAAUUAAUGCUGGAGACUGCUUUUGCCAAGAACUACUGCCAUUCCUUGCUUUUAUUUUCACUCUUUUUUUGAAAGCAAUGAAUCUUUGCUUCAAAAACUCCAAAAAAUUUACAAACAAUUUCAAAAAGCAAAAUGGUCUCAUUAUACAUGCUUGGCCUAGUUCUUUUUUCCUCUUAGAUUUUUGAAAAUAAAAGCACCACACUGCCCUAAUUGUUCUAGUGGAAUUUCCUAUGAAAAUGUAUUAAUUUAUACUGAACCAUUUUUGAGUAUCAUAAAUGCUAAUAUGAUCACUUAAAACCAGUGUUGGAUGGAUAUGGAUACGAGAAUUGGAUUCAUACAUGUGUCCAAGAGUUUAGCUCGGCCAAAGAGAAAAAAAGAAGAUACAAGGAUACAUGAAACAAUAAUUUUAAAUAUUAUAUAAAAGAAAAAUUAGAAGAUACUUUUGGUUAAGGGCUUUCACAUUCUCAACAUCUUAAGAAAAAGGAUAUUUUGCAAAGUUAUUUCAACAUCUACCCCCUUGACCAAUCUCCAGAAAAGAAAAAAAAAGGUCAUCUUCAAUAUUAUUAUGGUGUGUUGAAUUCAUUAAUGAAAGAAUCAAAUUAUCCACAUUUGAAAGGAAGAAAAUAAAAAGAUAAGUAUCCAAGUAUCUAAUGGGUAUCUGAUUUGGAUACAUAUCCGACAUGUAUGCUUGGAGCUAGACAAGAGUGUCCAUAUAAAACAACUUAAAAACUGCACGACUCAACAUUAACCAUAAUAUCUAGUUCCUUUAGGUUCAUAUCAGGUAGAGAGAUUUUUUAAUCAAUUUUAAAGUAUGUGAUUUUAAGGGCUUCAAUGCCUUAGGACGUGCGCACACAGAGAGAGAAGGAAAGAAAUCAAUGCAGUAGCAUCUAGCCAUUUCUUGAUGCCAUAUUGUCACAACUGCAUCAUUCUAGCAGCUACAAGUAAUGCCUCUCUCCAUCUGUAUGUGUGCAUUUAUCUGCUUCUCCGCUAAAGGCAGUGAUGAUCUUCUUUGGACGCUACUUUCUCAAUUCACUAUUUCCCAUUUUUAUGCCGGACCAGAGAUGGUAAGUAAUGAUGGUUAUCUAAAGAUAGGAAGCCACUGUACCCAUGAAUAAGGAAGCCCUCCCCCACAGGAUAAGAUAACAAGAUCAUAUUCCAAAGUCAUUUGCGAAUCAUAUGUCUACUCAAGGGAAGUCCUUUUCCUUCUGAGGGCAAUUUUGUGAUUCUACAAGCUUCUCAAUUAUUUUUCAGAACCAUGAAGAAUCAUGGGAUCAAAAAUCUCGCCCAAAUCUUAACAGGCACAUGCACAAACUAUUCGAUGGAUGAGACACGGUUAUAUGCAGGAAAUAUUUUUCAUAUAACAAGAGGAUAUAUGACCUGAGGGCAGUUCUCAGCUCUCUUUCCAAACAACAAAUCAGCAAUUAUGAAGAUCGUUAAACAUAGUAUGGUUAUAACUCAAUAAUUACUCAUAGUUUCAGGAAUUUCUUAUUCCACCAUAUACUUGUUAGAUUAAGAAAAUUAAAUAAAGAAAAACUAAGCAAAAUAAAAAAAAAUGGUGACAUCAAAACAAUUAACUAUCUUUUGACAACUCCAGCUAGGCUAGAAAAACUGUGGUUGGGCAGGCUAGGGGGUCAAUAGCAGCUUGAGUGGUUGAAGAUGGGGAGGCAACAUGGAGAGAGAAAGAGAGGGGGGGCAGGGGCAGGGGAGAAGGGAAAGAGAGAGAGGGGAAGGGGAAAGAGAGAACUAGAUUAUUUAUGGAGGGCCUGCAGAUAGUCAUAAGAUAUAUGGGGAUAGGAGGAAGAGAAAUGGAGAGGGCUUUAAACACUAGCUACUCACCAUAUAAGCUUGCAGCUACAGGCAAUGCCAGAGAAUGGUAAAGUGGGGUGGAAGAGGGAGAAGAUAGGACCAGAGGAAGGGGGUUGGAGAAGAUAGACAACAUGGGCCCAGAGUUAUGUCACCAAUACCCAAUUGCAAGCAGAUACAUGCAAUGGUUAACAGGAGGGUGAAGAAGUGUGAGACGUAAUAGAUGGGGUCAAGGUUGGAAGAGAGGAGGGGAGUUGCGGGUCUAUGAGGGGGCAGAAUUGUGGAGGGGGCAGGAAAAGCCAGAAAUGCUAAUGUUGGUCUUCGGCAGUGGCAAGGUAGCGUCCAUGGAGGUGGGAGGAGAGGGAGGGAAGGAUGGGAGGCCAUUGCAGAAGGAGAAGCGUGGGGUAGGGAGGAGAAACGAGAGGGGAAUUAAGAGAGUAUGAAUAAGCAGGAGAUGGGAAGCAAUUGUUUCACUUGUCUAAGGACAAGACAACUAGAUAUUUUUUCCCACUCGGCCUCUCUUUUUAUUAUCUUUUCACAGUGAAUCUCGAUGUGUUGAUCUGAGAGCAAGAAAGUUGAGCAGUCAAGCCUCAAUAUGGUCCAUGCACUCUAGCUUUUCAAUGUUAUACACAAACACACAUGAAUAUGAAUUACACAAUUGACUUAGGCUAACCUACUUUGUCAAGUUAGGACCAAAACUAGAAAUGGGACAAAGAAGGUUGGGUCCCAGUUGGAUGUUUGGUUGGGUUUAGGUCUGACUUAAGUUCCAAAUCAGUUCCUAGACUGCCUUAACUACACAAGUCCAUGUCAGCAUCAGCUUUGGCCCAGCCCAACUGAUUGCCACCCCCUGACAUUUCUUCAAGGGCACUUAUGAUUCUAGGAAAGACUAUUGAAGGUAUACUUUCUCUUCUCCACCUUCUGAGAUAUUCCUGUUAACAGGGAAAAAAUGCUUUAAACAGUUAAUAUCUGAUGAUUAUAACUUGUCAAUACAUUCUAAGAUUAAGAUUCCACCAAUUCAAGUCAUUCAUGUAAUAAAGUUGAUGAAACAGGCCAGAGUGAGGAAGCAAAACUUUUAGAGGGAUUAAAUACAAAGCGAUCAAAGCCCUAUGCCAAUGGUUGAUGUCAUAGAUCUUUAAAGAGCACAAAGAUUUGUGAAUAACAUUAUAAAAUGAGA
This 72316-nucleotide long non-coding RNA is filed under the name Phoenix dactylifera (date palm). Its description in RNAcentral is "long non-coding RNA (PDAC_LNC000087)". Lineage: Eukaryota; Viridiplantae; Streptophyta; Magnoliopsida; Arecales; Arecaceae. The record is from RNAcentral.